This 46509-nucleotide long non-coding RNA is filed under the name Triticum aestivum (bread wheat). Its description in RNAcentral is "long non-coding RNA (TAES_LNC021182)". The record is from RNAcentral. Lineage: Eukaryota; Viridiplantae; Streptophyta; Magnoliopsida; Poales; Poaceae.
GCCAGGAGGGGCGGCGUGAAGCGCAUCUCGGGGCUCAUCUACGAGGAGACCCGCGGCGUGCUCAAGAUCUUCCUCGAGAACGUCAUCCGCGACGCCGUCACCUACACUGAGCACGCUCGCCGCAAGACCGUCACCGCCAUGGACGUCGUCUACGCGCUCAAGCGCCAGGGCCGCACCCUCUACGGCUUCGGCGGCUAGAUUCGUGUCGUGUGUCCGUGUGUUCUGUGGAAGACGGGUUUUACUACUGCUUUGGCGUGCGUCGUUGUGUUCCGUCUUGUGUUCAUUAGGCUGUAAUUCCUUGUUGCGGUCAAUGAAACUAGUUCUGUUCUGAAUCCUGACCUGAAGUGCAAUUGGUUUGACUUAGAUGAAAUGCAAUUGGAUGAACGAUUUAUCACUCGUUGCAAUCUGUACAGAUGCAGAAGUAUUGUUGGAGUGGUAAAAUGUGAAUCAAGACGCCAGAUGCAUAUUCCUGAAAUACUGACCAAGUGCUUCGCUGUGUUGAAUUCGGUUUUGGUUUUCUAAGGUUGGUUGGUUUGAUAUUAGAUUUCUCAUUUUAGAUCGUGUAUAGCUGAAGUGCAGUUGAUUUGUCUUAGCUGAACUGCAGUUGAUUGAACGAUUUACCACUCGUUGCAACCUGUAGAAGGGGCGCAUCCUUUUGAUUUGGUUUGGUUUCACUGGGGAACGAAUCUUGUUUUUUUUUUCUGUGCAGAUCUACAGAUGCACAGGUGUGGUUGUUGGAGUGGUACGAACCCUCCAUUAAAAUGUGAAAUCAAGAUGCAAGAUACCUAUUCCUUAAAUCUUCACCAAGUGCUUCGAUGUGUUGGAUCCGGUUUUGAUUUUUGUAAGUCUGGUUAAUUUGUUUUAUUAUUAUAUUUCUUGCUUUAGAUCGUAUAGCUCUACUGCUGGACUGUACAUUUGAGUUAUAAUUGAAAUGCAACUGAACCAAUGUUUACAUUGGACAGAUAGCUGAACUGCAAUGGAUCCAGUAUUGAACGUUCGAGUUGUUGCUGAAAUGCAAUUGAAUGAAUAAUUAUCACUCAUUGCAAUCUGUAGAAGAGACGGACCCUUCUGUUUGGUUUUGGUUUUGCUGGGGAGUGAAUCUUGAUUUUUUUUUUCUGCAGAUCUACAUACCCCAAAGUGGUCGGACCCUUCCCUGGACCCUGCACAAGCGGGAGCUACAUGCACCAGGUUGCCCUUUUAUCUACAUACUCCAAAUGUAUAUAAAAUUUCUGAAUGAUACAUCAAGCCUCUGGAGUAUAUAAAAUUUUGAAUGUUUCAAUGUUGGUGGGGUGUAAAUAAUCUAGUCAAUACAAAUAUGAAAUCAAAACGCCAAAUAUGGCCUUCUAUUCCUGAAUGAAACAACAACGAGCAUGUGGAGCAACUAUCAGAAUGUUUCUGAAUGAUACAUUAAGCACUGGGGCAAUCAAAACAUUUCUGAAUGAUACAUCAAGCCUCUGGAGCAACCAUCAGAUUUGAAAUAGUACAUCCGACAACUACAACUGCAUGCUGUAUGUAGAACAACUAUCUGAGGCUCUGCACUAAACUGAUAUUUUUCCUAAUAAUCAGCUCGUUCCUCAGAGGAAUGUACAGUAGAGAUUAUAUUCCUUUCCUAAUAAUAAUCUUGUUCCUCAGAAGGAUAUACAGUACUACAACCAACUCGUAGGAUGAUUUUUCUUCUUUGAGAAAUUGUAAGUCCCUAUCAAUAAUUCUCUAGAGCAGGAAUUGCUUGCCGGUGUAUGUUUUGCCAAACUCCCAAUCCUUGGGCACAACGUUAAAAUUGGUCAUCGUCGUGCCGUCACUCGAGGUGAGCUCAAAGGACACCGGCUGCCCUGUGAGAUCUAAGUUGAUGUGCCAUAUCUGGCCCCAGUUGCGGCCCAUAUCGAGCCAGCCAGACUCUGUUCCUUUGAUCUUCACUGAUCUGACAUCGCCAGCGCCACCGACAUUGCUGAUUAGGACUGUGAAGAAGAAGCUCUUCCCGGAGACCGAGAACCGCACGCCGCCUUCACGAAGGCACUUGACGCUGUUCAUAAGAAAACAAGUCAAUCUCAGCAAAGAAUCAGAGGCAUUUUUUCUGACAGGUUAAUGCUAUUAGUAGCUUUAUUUGUCCUUGUUGUUUGUUCUCAUGCAAAUCCUGCAAACUACUCCCUCCGCCCCAUAAUGUAAGACGUUUUUUCACACUAGUGUAGUGUCAAAAAACGCCUUACAUUGUGGGACGGGGGGAGUACUUAACAAGUAAUGAAAUGGUGUGACAUAGAUGAGUCCCAAAUCAUAGUAGGAUGUAUAUUUCCAUGUCAAUUGUCCUACGAAACAUGAAAUCUCCAGGAUCACGAAAACACAUUGAUAGCAGAAUGUUGUACAAAUCCGUCAUUCAGGAAACCAUCUCAAAGAAUCACCUCAAUUUUUCAAAUUACUAGACAACUUAGACGCACGUAAAGAUUAUUACACCCUUCUAUAAUAUACUUUUCAGUUUAGCAUACAUGCACGUUUUUAACUUUGUAUUCUGAAUGGCACAGGAGUAGAACCUCACUAAUUUACAGAUGCGAUCGUAGUCUGUUUGAAUCUCAAACAGUAACAAAUUAAAUGAAGUGUAAGCACAAGCUAAGAUGAUUAGUUUCAGUUCAAGAAAGUCCUAGUAGUAAAAAUAAUUAAUGAAGUUUUCUCUGGAAAAAUAAUCAAAUGAAGUUGUUUCAAAGGGAACUCAAAGAGCUACCAACCAGUGCAUAAAUAUCUAACACAAACAUAGAAUAUUAAGGACAACCACAAAUAAUGUGCCACUACAACUUGCAGGGCCAGUUUGAUUGUCACCAGGUAGUACCUGAGAAGCAGAUAACUUGUGUAGCUUUAUUAGUGAUGAUGUGCAUUUUUGCUGUUUCGUGAAACAGUGGUUUGUUCUCUACCAUACAUUUAUUCUUUCUCUUUGGAAUAGUGCUAAUUGCUAUUCGCUAACAGUAAAGGAGCUAUAUAACAGCUGAUGAAGCUAAAGUCUGACAUAGUUUAGUUGCAGAGCACAGCAGGGUUGAUAUUGCUGCCAAUUGCCUCAGGCGAUGAUUUGGAACAUCAAAUCUUGAGGAUAAAAAAUGCACAUUAACAACACAUUUCAUUAAACCUGUCAUUCAUCAAAGCAUCUAGAAGAAGUACCUGUCUCUGCUACACCUUUUAAGUGUGGCAUAUAUGCAGGUUCCUAACUUUAUGUUCUGAACAGCACCAGCAUAGUGCUUGCUAAUUUACCAAAUUUGAGUGUGAAGUGUUACCAUUCGCCAUAUCCUAAUAUGUUUGGAUCUUAAAUACCAAUAACAAACCAAAAAAAGGGUAAAGCUAAGAUGAUUAAACAAUCAGGCAAGUCACUAUCCAAAGUUCCUUUUUAACACAGUUUUAGUAGUACAAAUAAUCAACUAGAUUUCCCUCAAGAAAAUAAAUCAAGUUGUUUAAAGGAUCCCAAGGAGCUACCAACUGGCAUAAAUAUCAAACAUAACCACAGAAUAUUAAGGACAACACCAGUUAAUGCGCCACUACUAUUUGUAGGGCCAGUUUGGUGAUACCGGGUACUGGAGGGCACAUCAUGUAAACCCAGAAGCAAAUAACCUGGUGAUGCUAGUUCGGUGCACAUCAACAACUCUAGAAGUUCCAAAAAAAAUCUUGCAACCUCUCCAUUAAUAUGGUUCAACCAGUCCUUACAGCAGUCAAUAGAAUAUUUAAGCACUAACUGUCAAUAAGAUCCACAUUUCCCAGAAUUCCUCAGUUAUCAACAAAAUACAGGAUAAUCACUCAGAUAAGAGGUGCUUAGUUUCUUUAUGUUUUUAAUUAAUUUUCAUAUGAGUUAUCAUAGCUCAGCAUACCGAUUCUGCACUCUAGUAACCAUAGACUGUCGUGAAUUGUGGAAUAAAAUUUAGAUGAUGUGAAAAUAUAUGCAAUGAUGAAUCCAAUGAUAUAUAUUUGGUGGUGUAUAUGUUAAUAUAUUUUUCUACAAACUUGUUUAAAGUAUAUAAAGUUUGACUUCAGACAAACGUAAUAUGCGGAGUAAAUAAAAACGGAGGGAGGACAACUAGUUAUCACCAGCUGCAUUAUCAUCAUCAAGAUGAUAGCGCUGUUUUAAUUCUAAGAGAGCCCCAAAGAACAAAAUAAACUCAAGGAGCCACGAAAGUCUAAUGCUUACACCAAUGAAUAUGAUGCAAAUACUGAACCAAACUGUAGUACAGUACUAUAAUUGAUCAAAUCACGCAAACCGAGCAUGUGAUACUCUAGAUAGUCAAUGGCUCGAUGCUGCAUCAAAAGGCUCAUAGGUGCUUUCCUCCUAACCCAAACACCAAAUCACAUUAGUACAUUUAUUUACACUUGGUUCUAUGCAUCUUUGUACUACCUUGUUAGUAAAGGAAGGCCACAUUAGAGCAGAUAAAACUACCCUAAUUCGAAUCCUAACCAAAAGAACUUGCACUUCACCACAGUGGAAGAGGGUCCACUUGAUCCCCUCCACACUUUCCUCACCAACGGACACUUGCAAUUCAGCUUUUUUGGGAUCCCACAUUGCGGCAAACCAAAGCAAUCUCUAGCUUGGCAAGCACUUUCCCAGCUCUACACAAAUUGAAUCAGGAAACCGAGGAAACUUUGGCCUUAGAUCUAGCCGAACAUGGAGUGCAAAGCAGAGCGAGAUCGAGUGCAGGCAAGAAUGGAGCAUACGUACCGGCGGUACUGGAUGGGCAUGACGCCGGCCUUCCAGAGCGCAAUCUUCUCGAAUGCCUGGAUGGGGAGGAGGAAAUGGUGGUUGGGCGGGUUGCAGACGCCGCCGGCGUCGGCGGGGAAUCCGUAGUUGGGCGGGCAGAAGUUGGUGGCGGUGACGACGAUGGAGGUGCCGGGGAGGCAGUACUUGAGGUCCUCCACGCACUUGACCUCGUAGCAGCCCCCGCAGGCGGCGCCGCGCUCGAACAGCGCCGUGCUCAGCCCCACCGUUGCCAUCCCGUACCCGUGCUUCCCCAGAUCCCCGAACCCGCACGCGCCACCUGCACGCCGCACCCCACAAAAAGAAAAUCACAGAUCAGCUCCGUGCCCAUGUCCAUGGCCGCCAGGAUCGCAAGAACCGACUGUGGUACGAGCAGAGAAGCUCCGGUAACCGAGCGUGCGGUUUGUGGAAAUUCCGUUGGCGGCAACAUACCGAAAGAGGAAAAGUGAACUAAUUAAUGCCUGCAGCAUGGACGCGAGGAAUUUUGGUAGGAGCGCAAGGACGGUUUGGUGGAUUCGUUUCUUGGACUGCUGCCAUGACGGAGAGCUAGGCGAGGUUUGUUGGUGCUUACCGAUGGCGUCCCCGGGGUCGGCGGCGAAGUAGGAGGACUUGGCGUUGCGCCAUUCGGAUAGGGCGGAGGAGCCGUAGGAGGAGGGGUGCUGGUGGCCGGCGGCGAGGGCCGGGAGGAGGAAGACGACGAGGAGGAUGAGCGGGGGAGCCAUGGCUCCCAGCAAGCAGCUUUUCGUCCGUGCGCUUGCUUCUCAGUGAAGUGAAGCAGGGGAGAGUGUGAAAUGGAGGUGCUGUGCUUCGGUGUUCUGUCUUUUUAUUUUGCAGGUUCUGGGGCCUUCUUUGCCUUUAUACAUGUGCACACGGGUAUAUUUUUAGUGCAGGUUCUCUUCUCGAGUGCUCCAGCUUUUGAUCGAUUAAUUCUUUUCUUUUCGGGAAAGAGUGCAUUUGCUCGUCUGUUUUGUUUCCUUUCCUGGUGCACCGCAGCUUAUUGCUUCGGUGAAACGGCAAAAUUAGAGCACUUACAAUCGGACUUUGCAAAUUCGGCUCCUCAAACGUUCGCAGAUAGUGACCGGUCACGUCUUAAACUAAUCAUUCUAUAUCACCUUUUUCACAUUUCAAUCCUUAGAUUCAUACAAAGCAUGCAAAAAAAAAAAUCAUACGCACGUACCCUAACUAAUCUUCGUUGUCGGAGACGUCCACAACAAUGUGUCGGGCGCCGGUUGCACGGGCGGGUAGGAGGGUGCCGGCUGCUCGACCUCAUCCAUAUAGGCGAGCAUCUCCGUCUCCUCCGCGACCUACUGCGCCUCGAUCUCCUGCCGGCGACGGCGUCUGGCCUCCGCAGCCGAUUCCGACGGGAGGGAAUCGAGGAUGGUCUGCUGCUCCGCCUGCAAAUCCACUGCAUCCGGAGGUAGCCCCUCGGCGAUCCGGACUUCACGCUUAGCCCGGAUCUGCUGAAGGAGCUCGAGCCGGCACUCCGGCGCCAUAAAUGGCCCGCUCUUCACCCGACGGCGUGGAGGCAUGGCUACUAAGCGGACGGGUGAAGUAAAAAGUGGCGAUGUGAACGGACAUGUGGAAGAAAAUGUGGAUGGACGGUAGGGUUUCGGCGCCGCCGGUCGACUUAAAUAGCUGGGCUAGGCACUAAGUGACCCGCCGGAGCUGCGUCACGCGGCCAGUGCUCAAAAGGAGACGAGCUUCGGAUCGUCGGGUUUCCAGGUGUUUUCGGCUGGGACCCCGCCGCCAGUUCGACGUGGCAGGUGUGCCCGGACGCGUUCGGACGCCCCAUAUCCGUCACAUAUUUAGACUGGAUAUGAGGGUGUCGGUCAGCCCGGGCGUUUGAAGUCUGUUUGAGAUGUCUAUCUGAAUCGAAAAAACAUGACCGAUGAGUGACUGGACGGACUGCCGGGCAUUUGAGGCCGGUUUGGGACCCACGGCUUAGAUGCUCUUAACAAAUUCUAUCAUGAGUGAGAGGUUCAUGAUAAACCCGGAUCGACGGUCAGUACUGCCGACGCUGCUCGAAACAGUUGUGUUAAGGUACUCGUAGAUACUCUCUCGAUUACUAGUAGCAAUCACUUGCGGAUACAAGUUUGGUGGCGAUUACAGGAACGAUACAAGAAUUUGGUUGCUAGGGUUCGACGCGAGACAGGAAGAGGAAAGGGGAAAAGAGCCGAGCCGCCGUUGUCGUGAUCCUCUGGAUAACCCUAGGACGCUGCCGCUCCUCUCCUCAAGUAGCUUCCAGGACGGGCUUCAGUUAACCCACGCUGGGCCGGAGACGCGUGGGUUGGGCUUCCUGGGCCGGGCCGCACGUGGAGCCGUGGAGACCUGAUCGUUGGUGUUGCCUUGCGGGCCGGCCCUAUCAGGGACGCUGACAUCCCCCUCUUCUUGAGCAGAGGCUUGCCCCAAGCCUCCGCGAGCGAGAAACGCUCCCUGAGACUCGCCUUGUCUUCCCAAGUUUCGCCGAGCGUCUCUGAAUUGGACCAACGGACGAGCACUUGUUCCCUCAUCUUGCCCUUCUCCUGGAGCCAUCUUGAUUGCAGAACUGCCACAGGAACCGCGAGCUCAUCAUAACAAUGAGGUAACUGAGGUUCAACAGCCAUACCCGUGCUCAGGACGCGUCGAAGGAGCGAGACGUGGAAGACUGGAUGGAUAGUUGCUUGCGAAGGAAGCUGGAGCUUGUAGGCGACAUCGUUGAUCUUGCCGAUGAUAGGAAAUGGACCGUAGUACUUGAAUGCCAGCUUGUGAUUUGCUCGUGGCGCGACGGAGGUUUGGAUAUAUGGUUGCAGUUUCAGGUACACUUGAUCGCCCACUUCAAACUGACGGAACGAUCGCUUCUUAUCCGCCUGGCUUUUCAUCAGCUGUUUUGCUCUGUUCAGGUGUUGCUGUAACAGUUCCUGCACCGUAUCCCUUUCCUCGAGCCACGAGCUGAGUGCUGGCACUGAACAGGUGUUGUUUGCUGUUAUCCCCCAGUGCCGUGGCUCGUAACCGAACAUAGCUUUGAAGGGCGUCAUGCCUAUGGCCGAAUGGUGUGAGUUGUUGUACCAGAACUGAGCUAACGGGAUCCAAAAACUCCACCGCCUGGGAUAAGCUUGAGUGAAACACCUCAAGAAUGUUUCCACACACUGGUUAACUCGCUCUGUUUAGCCAUCCGUUUGCGGGUGGUUGGCUGUGCUGAGUCUAAGUUGUGUGCCUGCGGCCUUGAAAAGCUCCUGCCAAAAGUGGCUAGUGAACACAGGAUCGCGAUCUGAUACUAUUGCUCCCGGGAGACCAUGCACUCUGUAGACUUGUUGGAUGAAAAGUUGGGCCACCGAUGCUGCUGUGUAUGGGUGCGCUAGUGGCAAGAAGUAGCUGAACUUGGUUCGCUUGUCUACAAUCACCAGGAGACAGUUGAACCGGCUGGAUUGUGGGAGGCCGUCCACAAAAUCCAUGGAUAUCAUAUCCCAAGGUUUGUUAGGGAUUGGUAACGGCAGCAAGAGACCUGGUGAAGCUGCCCGAUCUAGUUUCGCUUGCUGGCAUAUGACACAACACUGCACAUAGUGUUUGAUUUGAACUUUCAUUUUGGGCCAUGCAAAGAGACGCCUGAUGCGUCUGUAAGUGACUGGGAAUCCCGAGUGACCCCCUACUAGGCUGUCAUGAAACGCUUGGAUUAUACGUUGUUGUAUGUGUGUUCCUCCUCCCAGCCAAAUUCUGCCUUUGAACCUGAUGAUGCCUUGCUGCAGUAAGAACCUGCCUUUGGGAUCGUCACGCACAACCAGCUGUUCCAAUAGUUUAUGCGCCUGCGGGUUGUUGUUAUAACUGUUGAUAGCAUCUUCUAACCAACUAGGUUGACAUGACGUGACCACUGAUAGCACCUCCGCUGGACUGGCGCGUGACAAGGCGUCCGCGCCGUUGUUUUCAGAUCCCUUCUUGUACUUGAUGCGAUACUGGAGUCCCAACAGCUUGGUAAAAGCUUUCUGUUGCCAUGGUGUGUUCAGCCGCUGUUCCUCCAGGUGAGUGAGGCUCUUCUGAUCUGUAUAUAUGACAAAUUCUGCGUUUUGCAAAUAAGGGCGCCAUUGAUCUACGGCCACGAUGAUUGCCAGAUAUUCUUUUUCGUAUGUGGACAGACCCUGAUAUCUCAGACUCAACGCUUUGCUCAUGAAUGCAAUGGGGUGUCCUUGUUGCUGCAGAAUUGCUCCAAUGCCUGUGUCGCAUGCAUCUGUCUCCACUGUGAAAGGCUGCUCGAAGUUCGACAAUGCUAGCACUGGUGCGGAGAUUAGGUGCUUCUUCAGGACUUGGAAAGCUGUUUCCGUGAUCGAUGUCCACUGAAAUGGCACGCCUUUCUUCAACAAAUUGAACAGCGGUCGUGCUAUCACUCUGAAAUUGCGCACAAAACGGCGAUAGUACCCUGCGAGACCCAGAAAGCUUCGGACUCCCUUGAUAUCUUGCGGUGAGGUCCAGUUGGUAACUGUUGCUAUCUUGGCCGGGUCCGUGGCUACCUUGCGAGCACUGAUGACAUGGCCUAGGUAGGAUACCUGGCUUUGCCCAAACGCACACUUGCUGCGCUUAACUUUCCACUGAUCCUUGCGUAGCAGUUCCAACACCUGCAGCACCUGGCACUUGUGCUCCUCUAACGUAGCACUGAAGAUUAAGAUGUCAUCGAAGAAGCAUAGCACGCAGACACGUAGCACUGGCUUGAGGGUUGUAGUCAGCCCUUCUAUGAACAUGGGUGGAGCCCCAGCCAACCUUGAACUCGAAGUGCCCCUGAUGCGUGGAGAAUGCCAUCUUGUACUCCUCCCCCGACGUGAGCCUGAUCUGAUGAUAGCCUGCGUGCAAGUCGAGCUUUGAAAACCACGCUGCACCAUGUAGCUCACCCAGGAGCUCUUCUAUAACAGGAAUUGGAAACUUGCCGACGACUGUAAUGGCAUUCAGUUGUCUGUAAUCUAUACAGAGACGCCAGGUUCCAUAUUUCUUCUUAACAAGUAUGACUAGAGAUGAAAAAGGACUAUUUCUUCGCUGAAUGACUCCUGAUUUCAGAAGUGCUUCGACUUGAGCUUCUAUCUCCGUCUUCUGUUCUGGUUUGUAACGAUAUUGCCUGACAUUUACUGGCUGAGCUCCAGGUAUUAGCGGAAUGCGGUGAUCGCACGCCCUUCGAGGUGGAAGCCCUACUGGUUCCGCAAACACAUCCGAAAAUUGGUCCAAGAUUUCCUGAAUGCACGCUGGAGUUUGCUCCAAUUCCUCCUGCUGGGCAGCCACCACACAAAGGUGUAUAAUGUGUGUGAUCGAUCUGUUGCUGCACAGGUUCUGCAACUGCAAGCUAUUGAUGGACUGACAACUGGUGGAAGUCGCGUCGUGCCCCAUGAGACGAAGCGGCCCUGCUGGAGUGGGAAUCUCAAUGAAACGAGCAUGCCAGUCUACCUACAUCGGGCUAUGUUCCUCUAACCAAUCCAUGCCGAGUAUAACAUCGUACGUGCCCAGAGCCAAAACUUUCAGAUCCGUGUAGAAUUCGUGCCCUUGAGCAUACCAUGCGCAUUGCGGCGCGACCUCAGUGCAGAACAGUUCUCCCCCAUCUGCCACACGCACACGACUUGGAUUAGGCAGAGGUCGAACCCCUGAAAGUCAACUUGCUAAGUGCUCGUUGAUGAAGGAAUUGGAGCUGCCCGAGUCGAUCAGCAUGAGUACUUCAUGCCCUUGAAGCCACGCUCGCAGCUGAAAAGCUUUGGCCGAGACCCCUCCCGUAACUGCCGAAACUGAGAUGGCCAUGGCUGUAUUCUAAACCUCAUCCUCGGAGCUCAUUUGAGUGUCGACGAAACUGUCAAGGCCGAAGAUAUCCAGAAGCUCCUCAACUACAUGCAGCUGCACUGUGGUGGGGCAUACAUGAUCGUGCCCCCAUCGUUCACCGCACUUAAAGCACAGCGUGCCCCCAUCGUUCACCGCACUUAAAGCACAGCCCCCGAGCUCGUCGGUAAUCACGGAGGGUCUUGAGCUUGGACGCGUCAGCGCGGGCCGCGUCUGUACCACGACGAUCUGCUGCCUGCGUCGCUGGUACCGAUCGCACCGGAGGUGGGUGAAGUGGCAUGGGAGUGCCUCCCCGCUUGAAAGAUCGUGGAUGUCGCCUAGAGGGGGGGAGGGGGGAAUAGGCGUUUUAAAAUAAUUACGGUUUAGGCUUGAACAAAUGCGGAAUAAACCUAGCGGUUAAUUUGCCAAGCACAAAACCUAAAACAACUAGGCUCACCUAUGUGCACCAACAACUUAUGCUAAGCAAGAUAAGCAACUAUGUGAUAGCAAGAUAUAUGACAAGAAACAAUAUGGCUAUCACAAAGUAAAGUGCAUAAGUAAAGGGGCUCGGGUAAGAGAUAACCGAGGCACGCGGAGACGACGAUGUACCCCGAAGUUCACACCCUUGCGGAUGCUAAUCUCCGUUUCGAGCGGUGUGGAGGCACAAUGCUCCCCAAGAAGCCACUAGAGCCACCGUAAUCUUCUCACGCUCUCGCACAAUGCAAGAUGCCGUGAUUCCACUAAGGGACCCUUGAGGGCGGUCACCGAACCCGUACAAAUGGCAACCCUUGAGGGCGGUCACCGAACCCGUACACUUUGGCAACCCUUGGGGGCGGUCACCGGAACCCGUCAAAUUGCUCGGGGCAAUCUCCACAACCUAAUUUGAGACCCCGACGCUUGCCCGGAUCUUUAGACCACAAUGAUUGAGCUCCGAACACCACCAACCGUCUAGGGCACCCAAGCACCCAAGAGGAACAAGCUCAAGGGUACCAAGCACCCAAGAGUAAUAAGCUUCUCAACUUGUAACUUCCACGUAUCACCAUGGAGAACUCAAACCGAUGCACCAAAUGCAAUGGCAAGGGCACACGGAGUGCCCAAGUCCUUCUCUCUCAAAUCCCACCGAAGCAACUAAUGCUAGGGAGGAAAAUGAGAGGAAGAACAAGAAAGAGAACACAAAGAACUCCAAGAUCUAGAUCCAAGGGGUUCCCCUCACAUAGAGGAGAAAGUGAUUGGUGGAAAUGUGGAUCUAGAUCUCCUCUCUCUUUUCCCUCAAAAACUAGCAAGAAUCCAUGGAGGGAUUGAGAGUUAGCAAGCUCAAAGAAGGUCAACAAUGGGGGAAGAACACGAGCUCCAAGGAUAAGGUUCAUUGGGGAAGAAGACCCCCUUUAUAGGAGGGGGAAAAUCCAACCGUUAUGUGCUCAGGCCGCACACGAGCGGUACUACCGCUCCACGAGCGGUACUACCGCUCAGGUGGAAGAAACAGGGAAAAGGAGCAACAAAACAUGAACCUUAGGGCGGUAGUACCGCAGGAGACAGCGGUACUACCGCUGGGUUAAGCGGUACUACCGCUCCCUUCAACGGUACUGCCGCGCAGAACGAAGGGUAAAGGGAAAGAGGGAACCGGGCGGUACUACCGCGGAGGAAGGGCGGUACUGCCGCUAAGGAGCGGUACUGCCGCACUACUGCCAGCGAGGUACCGCACAAUCCGACAUAGAAAAAGACCCCUCGAAACGACGUGGUAGGGACCUGGUAAGCCAACGGUAGUACUGCUGCGGAGUCACCGCUGGUACUACCGCUUCGGAGCGGUACUGCAGCUUGUGACCCCUCAACAAUGGGGGAAGAACACGAGCUCCAAGGAUAAGGUUCAUUGGGGAAGAAGACCCCCUCUAUAGGAGGGGGAAAAUCCAACCGUUAUGUGCUCAGCCCGCACACGAGCGGUACUACCACUUAGGUGGAAGAAACAGGGAAAAGGAGCAACAAAACAUGAACCUUAGGGCGGUAGUACCGCAGGAGACAGCGGUACUACCGCUAGGUUAAGCGGUACUACCGCUCCCUUCGGCGGUACUGCCGCGCAGAACGAAGGGUAAAGGGAAAGAGGGAACCGGGCGGUACUACCGCGGAGGAAGGGCGGUACUGCCGCUAAGGAGCGGUACUGCCGCACUACUGCCGCAGCGAGGUACCGCACAAUCCAACACAGAAAAAGACCCCUCGAAACGACGCGGUAGGGACCUGGUAAGCCAACGGUAGUACUGCUGCGGAGUCACCGCCGGUACUAUCGCUUCGGAGCGGUACUGCCGCUUGUGACCCCUUAGCGGUACUACCGCUGGAUACCACGGUACUACCGCUGGGACCCUGACAAAACCACACUCAAGAAAAGAAGAACUGCCAUAACUUCUGCAUAUGAGCUCCGAAUUGAGCAAACUCAAGCUUGUUGGAAACAAGACGACGAGUAGCAUCAAAACAGCGGCUGGUUAUAGUAAGAAGAGGCAGGGGAGGUAUGCAUAACAAAAAGAGGAGUGAAACCUCCAACCGAGAAGAAUCGGCAAAACCUCCAACAUCGAAAACAUCAUAGAAGAGGCAUGCGAACUCCGUUUUCGAUGAACUCAAGCUUGUCAUCAAGAUGACCAUAAGCUCUAAGAUUCACAAAGAGAACCAAACAAGAACCAAGAAAUAUGAUGCAAGGAUGCAAUGGUUUGAGCUCUCUACGAACGAUACGAUCAAGCUACUCAUCGAGAGCCCCCCUUGAUAGUACGACAAUCGAUCCUAUAACCCGGUCUCCCAACUACCAUCAUGAGACCGGUAAAAUAGAAAACCUACCAAGGGCAAACCUUUGCCUUGAACAUGGUCCAUUUGAGCUAGAUGAUGACGAUCUUGACUCCCUCAAGUUGGACCACCUUUCUUGAUUGGGUUGACUCGAUGAAGACUAGUUGAUUGCUCCCCCAUACUCCACUAUGGGUGAGCCACUCUUCCGCACAUCUUCACAAGUCCAUUGUCACCACAAAGGAUGGCAAGCUUCAAGCAUUUGAUCUCUUCGUGAUGCUCCACUUGAAAUUGCACACCGCAACCUUUCUUGAUUGUGUUGACUCAAUGAAGACUAGUUGAUUGCUCCCCCAUACUCCACUAUGGGUGAGCCACUCUUCCGCACAUCUUCACAAGUCCAUUGUCACCACAAAGGAUGGCAAGCUUCAAGCAUUUGAUCUCUUCGUGAUGCUUCACUUGAACUUGCACACCGCAACCUAACCCCACAAAGAACCCUCACGAAGACCAUGGGUCAGUACACAAAGCGUAAUUGGCAAUGCUUACCAUACCAUGGGAUCACUUGAUCCCUCUCAAUACAUCUUCUACGCUUUGUGGGUUGAUCAGCUUGAUUCACUCUUUGACUUAGUCUUGAUCAACCUCUCACAAGACCAAUCUUUAGGUAAUUCCUUGAAUAGCACCUUGGUCGACACAAACUCUCCUUGAACCCAACACAUGUACUCCAAGAAAAGUCUAUGGACAAAACCUUCAAAUAUAACUCAAGGCAACCAUUAGUCCAUAGAGAUUGUCAUCAAUUACCAAAACCAAACAUGGGGGCACCGCAUGUUCUUUCAAUCUCCCCCAUUUUGGUAAUUGAUGACCAUCACUUUCAAGAGAGUUUAAUACACGGAAUUAUGCAUCACCAUGCAAUGCAACAACUAAUAAUGCAUGCGUAUGAGAUGCAAAUGCUUAGGAACAAAACCAAAGCAAGGAGAAAACUCUAAAGACUUCUCCACAAAACUCUCUGAAACCUCCACAAAACUCUCUGAAACUUCUCCCCCAUUGGCAUCGAUUGCCAAAAUGGGCGAAAAGCUUAGAAGGCCAAUAUAGAUUGAGUUCCUCCAGAAGUUGUGUAUUUCUCAACAAGAGAGAGGAAUGCAAUACACAUAUCCAACGGUAAAUACUUGGAGGAAGACAAACUAUAUUGAGGCCCAAAGAUUGCUAAAGGAAGAUAUGCCACAAAGACAUAAUCGACAGAGACACAAGCAAUCAAGCGAUCAAAAGAUACCAAUUGAAGCAAGCUAUCAAAAGAUACCAAUUGAACCAACUAGGCCAAUGAUCCUACGAGCCACAAGAAAGAAAGAUAUUAUGAUAUGAGCAUAGGAGUGUUCUAAAGAAACUAGAGAAGCUCCCCAUGAUUUGUGCACAUCAAGAAUUUUUGUAUUUGGAUACAAAGUGCACAAAAUAGGAUCAUAGCUCCCCCAAAAUCAAUAGAAACUUACAACAAGUGCAAGUGAGCAUAAAGGAAACUAAGCCUAGUACUUGCAACAAACACAUGGUUGAGCAACAAGUGAAAGAGGCAACUUAAGAAUGGGCUCAACCAAAAUGAUGUGUGAGAGUCAAGGCAAUGCACUUGAGAAGACUAAUGUACGGAUGAGCAUUAAGCAUCAAUAAAGUCUUGAAAGAAUGAGGCAACACGGUGCAAGGCCUAUCAUUACCACACACAACAAGCAAAUGGGUUCACAAGCUUACUAAUAAGCAUAUAAAGAACCUAUGCUUGUGACAACCCGUGGUGAAGAUAGAAGAUGAAAGCCUCAUCAAGAUGAGGGAUAUCAAUUAAGAUGGCAAAAGCCUCGUAAAGAUAAGCAUGACGAAAAUAAUCUUCACCACUCAAGAGUGCAUCAAGAUGCAACGAGAUAAGACACGCACUCAAGGCAAAAGCUUUCAUGGAGCCACCAAAGAAAUAACAUAAGAAAGACAAGGUGGUUGUGAAAGAAAGGAUAUCAACUAGAUAUGCAACUUUUCUCAAGUGUAUAAGAUUCUAGGUAGACGAAAUCAUGAUGAUAUAUAUCUACAAAGAAGGAUGUACAUGCGAAAUAGUUGCAACACGAGGAACAAGAUAUCCACAAGGAAAUCAUAAAUAUACCAAUAAGAUAUUUGCUUGAAAGCAUAGCACAUGGCUAGAUAAGGUCUUAUUGCAUAUAAAUGAAUUCCAACCACACGAACAUCAAAGACAUCACAACUAGCAACAAGACAUCAUUGUUGGGAUGCUUUGAGAAAGGAAACAAGUAUCACAAGAGAGAAUGGAUAACAUGCCAUGAUACAACCUACGAAAGGUUGAUGCAAGAAAUGUGUGCAUGAAGUAGAUGAUGAUACUUGUUACCGAGAUACCAUUGGAUGGAUGUAGUAGAUGCCAAUUAAAGGUAGAUAGUAGUUCAUUAAUCAUCCUAGCUUGACUCCAAUAAGCACAUGGUGACACCACCUUCCUUGUGAGUGAGCCGAGCAUCCAAUGCAUCUCCACUUGUUCCUAGAACAACAACACAAACAAAAUGGUACCCAAACUCAUUGGGACCAAAGAGUUAGAGAACCAACAACACAUAGGACAAACUCCACAUAAAUAUGUGCAUAUAGAUAUGAAAAUGAAUUUCAUGCACAUCUCAUCCAAUUUGAGACUUGGUGGAGUUCACCCUAUAUAUUGGGUCAAAGAAAGCAAACAUGCCAAAGAAACUACAAGAAGUAAAUAUGCAUGCUCAAGACUUUCAAGAACCGAGACCAAAAGACAAAGAAAUACCAAGCGAAGAAAAGAUACCAAAUGAAUAAAUCAUCACUUGGAGGAUAUCCAUUAAAGAUACAUCAAGGAAUGAGAUAUCUGAAGGAAAUAUGCCCUAGAGGCAACAAUAAAAGUUAUUAUUUCCUUAUAUCAUGAUAAAUGUUUAUUAUUCAUGCUAGAAUUGUAUUAACCGGAAACAUAAUACAUGUGUGAAUACAUAGACAAACAGAGUGUCACUAGUAUGCCUCUACUUGACUAGCUCGUUAAUCAAAGAUGGUUAUGUUUCCUAACCAUGGACAAAGAGUUGUCAUUUGAUUAACGGGAUCACAUCAUUAGUUGAAUGAUCUGAUUGACAUGACCCAUUCCAUUAGCUUAGCACCCGAUCGUUUAGUAUGUUGCUAUUGCUUUCUUCAUGACUUAUACAUGUUCCUAUGACUAUGAGAUUAUGCAACUCCCGUUUGCCGGAGGAACACUUUGUGUACUACCAAACAUCACAACGUAACUGGGUGAUUAUAAAGGAGCUCUACAGGUGUCUCCAAAGGUACAUGUUGGGUUGGUGUAUUUCGAGAUUAGGAUUUUUCACUCCGAUUGUCGGAGAGGUAUCUUUGGGCCCUCUCGGUAAUGCACAUCACUGAAGCCUUGCAAGCAUUGCAACUGAUGAGUUAGUUGCGAGAUGAUGUAUUACAGAACGAGUAAAGAGACUUGCCGGUAAUGAGAUUGAACUAGGUAUGGGAUACCGAGAUCGAAUCUGGGGCAAGUAACAUACCGAUGACAAAGGGAACAACGUAUGUUGUUAUGCGGUCUGACCGAUAAAAGAUCUUCGUAGAAUAUGUAGGAGCCAAUAUGAGCAUCCAGGUUCCGCUAUUGGUUAUUGACCGGAGACGUGUCUCGGUCAUGUCUACAUUGUUCUCGAACCCGUAGGGUCCGCACGCUUAAGGUGACGAUGACAGUUAUAUUAUGAGUUUAUGCAUUUUGAUAUACCGAAGGUUGUUCGGAGUCCCGGAUGUGAUCACGGACAUGACGAGGAGUCUCGAAAUGGUCGAGACAUAAAGAUUGAUAUAUUGGAAGCCUAUGUUUGGAUAUCGGAAGUGUUCCGGGUGAAAUCGGGAUUUUACCGGAGUACCGGGAGGUUACCGGAACCCCCCGGGAGGUAUAUGGGCCUUAGUGAGCCUUAGUGGAAGAAUAGAAGAGGCAGCCAGGGCUGGGCCGCGCGCCCCUCCCCCCCUUGGUCCGAAUUGGACAAGGAGAGGGGGCCGGCCCCCCUUCCUCCUCUCUCUCCUCUUCCCCCCCUCCAUGAAUCCUAUUCCAACUAGGAAAGGGGGGGAGUCCUACUCCCAGAAGGAGUAGGACUCCUCCUGGCGCGCCUCUCCUAGUCGGCCGGCCCCCCUCCCUUGAACCUUUAUAUACGGAGGCAGGGGCACCCCCUAGAGACACAAGUUGAUCCACGUGAUCAUAUUCUUAGCCGUGUGCGGUGCCCCCUUCCACCAUAGUCCUCGAUAAUAUUGUAGCGGUGCUUAGGCGAAGCCCUGCGACAGUAGUACAUCAAGAUCUUCACCACGCCGUCGUGCUGACGGAACUCUUCCCCGACACUUUGCUGGAUCGGAGUCCGGGGAUCGUCAUCGAGCUGAACGUGUGCUAGAACUCGGAGGUGCCGUAGUUUCGGUGCUUGAUCGGUCGGGCCGUGGAGACGUACGACUACAUCAACCAAACGCUUCCGUUGUCGAUCUACAAGGGUACGUAGAUCACACUCUCCCCCUCUCGUUGCUAUGCAUCACCAUGAUCUUGCGUGUGCGUAGGAAUUUUUUUGAAAUUACUACGAAACCCAACAGUGGUAUCAGAGCCAGGUUUUAUGUGUUGAUGUUAUAUGCACGAGUAGAACACAAGUGAGUUGUGGGCAAUAUAAGUCAUAUUGCUUACCAGCAUGUCAUACUUUGGUUCGGCGGUAUUGUUGGACGAAGCGGCCCGGACCGACAUUACGCGUACGCUUACGCGAGACCGGUUCUCCCAACGUGCUUUGCACAAAGGUAGCUAGCGGGUGACAGUUUCUCCAACUUUAGUUGAACCGAGUGUGGCUACGCCCAGUCCUUGCGAAGGUUAAAACAGCACCAACUUGACAAACUAUCGUUGUGGUUUUGAUGCGUAGGUAAGAUUGGUUCUUGCUUAAGCCCGUAGCAGCCACGUAAAACUUGCAACAACAAAGUAGAGGACGUCUAACUUGUUUUUGCAGGGCAUGUUGUGAUGUGAUAUGGUCAAAACAUGAUACUAAAUUUUAUUGUAUGAGAUGAUCAUGUUUUGUAACCGAGUUAUCGGCAACUGGCAGGAGCCAUAUGGUUGUCGCUUUAUUGUAUGCAAUGCAAUUGCGCUGUAAUGCUUUACUUUAUCACUAAGCGGUAGCGAUAGUCGUGGAAGCAUAAGAUUGGCGAGACGACAACGAUGCUACGAUGGAGAUCAAGGUGUCGCGCCGGUGACGAUGGUGAUCAUGACGGUGCUUCGAAGAUGGAGAUCACAAGCACAAGAUGAUGAUGGCCAUAUCAUAUCACUUAUAUUGAUUGCAUGUGAUGUUUAUCUUUUAUGCAUCUUAUCUUGCUUUGAUUGACGGUAGCAUUUUCAGAUGAUCUCUCACUAAUUAUCAAGAAGUGUUCUCCCUGAGUAUGCACCGUUGUGAAAGUUCUUCGUGCUGAGACACCACGUGAUGAUCGGGUGUGAUAGGCUCUACGUUCAAAUACAACGGGUGGAAAACAGUUGCACACGCGGAAUACUCAGGUUAUACUUGACGAGCCAAGCAUAUACAGAUAUGGCCUCGGAACAUGGAGAUCGAAAGGUCGAGCGUGAAUCAUAUAGUAGAUAUGAUCAACAUAGUGAUGUUCACCAUUGAAACUACUCCAUCUCACGUGAUGAUCGGACAUGGUUUAGUUGAUUUGGAUCAUGUGAUCACUUAGAGGAUUAGAGGGAUGUCUAUCUAAGUGGGAGUUCUUAAGUAAUAUGAUUAAUUGAACUUAAAUUUAUCAUGAACUUAGUCCUAGUAGUAUUUUGCAAAUUAUGUUGUAGAUCAAUAGCUCGCGUUGUUGCUUCCCUGUGUUUAUUUUGAUAUGUUCCUAGAGAAAAUUGUGUUGAAAGAUGUUAGUAGCAAUGAUGCGGAUUGGGUCCGUGAUCUGAGGUUUAUCCUCAUUGCUGCACAGAAUAAUUAUGUCCUUGAUGCACCGCUAGGUGAUGGACCUAUUGCAGAAGCAGAUGCAGACGUUAUGAACGUUUGGCUAGCUCAAUAUGAUGACUACUUGAUAGUUUAGUGCACCAUGCUUAAUGGCUUAGAAUCGGGACUUCAAAAACGUUUUGAACGUCAUGGAGCAUAUGAGAUGUUCCAGGAGUUGAAGUUAAUAUUUCAAGCAAAUACCCGAGUUGAGAGAUAUGAAGUCUCCAACAAGUUCUAUAGCUAAAAGAUGGAGGAGAAUCGCUCAACUAGUGAGCAUGUGCCCUGAUUGUCUGAGUACUACAAUCGCUUGAAUCAAGUGGGAGUUAAUCUUCCAGAUAAGAUAGUGAUUGACAGAAUUCUCUAGUCACCAUCACCAAGUUAGUAGAGCUUCGUGAUGAACUAUGAUAUGCAAGGGAUAACGGAAACGAUUCCCAAGCUCUUCGUAAUGCGGAAAUUGACGAAGGUAGAAAUCGAGAAAAACAUCAAGUGUUGAUGGUAUACAAGACCACUAGUUUCAAGAAAAGGGCAGAGGGAAGAAGGGGAACUUCAAGAAGAACAACAAGCAAGUUGCUGCUCAAGUGAAGAAGCCCAAGUCUGGUCCUAAGCCUGAGACUAAGUGCUUCUACUACAAAGGGACUGGUCACUGGAAGCGGAACUACCCCAAGUGAUUGGCGGAUAAGAAGGAUGGCAAAGUGAACAUAAGUAUAUUUGAUAUACAUGUUAUUGAUGUGUACUGUACUAGUGUUUAUAGCAACCCCUCAGUAUUUGAUACUAGUUCAGUUGCUAAGAUUAGUAACUCGAAACGGGAGUUGCAGAAUAAACAGAGACUAGUUAAGGGUGAAGUGAUGAUGUGUGUUGGAAGUGGUUCCAAGAUUGAUAUGAUCAUCAUCGCACACUCCCUAUACUUUUGGGAUUAGUGUUGAACCUGAAUAAAUGUUAUUUGGUGUUUGCGUUGAGCAUGAAUAUGAUUUGAUCAUGUUUAUUGUAAUACGGUUAUUCAUUUAAGUAAGAGAAUAAAUUGUUGUUCUGUUUACAUGAAUAAAACCUUAUAUGGUUACACACCCAAUGAAAAUAGUUCGUUGGAUCUCGAUCUUAGUGAUACACAUAAUCAUAAUAUUGAAACCAAAAGAUGCAAAGUUAAUAAUGAUAGUGCAACUUAUUUGUAGCACUGCCGUUUAGGUCAUAUUGGUGUAAAGCGCAUGAAGAAACUCCAUGCUGAUGGGAUUUUGGGAAUCACUUGAUUAUGAAUCACUUGAUGCUUGCGAACCAUGCCUUAUGGGCAAGAUGACUAAGACUCCAUUCUCCGGAAAAAUGGAGCGAGCAACUGACUUAUUGGAAAUAAUACAUACUGAUGUAUGUGAUCCGAUGAAUAUUGAGGCUCGCGACAAGUAUCAUUAUUUUCUGAUCUUCACAGAUGAUUUGAGCAGAUAUGAGUAUAUCUACUUGAUGAAACAUAAGUCUGAAACAUUUGAAAAGUUCAAAGAAUUUCAGAGUGAAGUGAAAAAUCAUCGUAACAAGAAAAUAAAGUUUCUACGAUCUGAUUGUAGAGAAGAGCAUUUGAGUUACGAGUUUGGCCUUCAGUUAAAAACAAUGUGAAAUAGUUUCACCACUCACGCCACCUGGAGCACCACAAUGUAAUGGUGUGUCCGAACGUCAUAACCAUACUUUAUUAGAUAUGGUGCGAUCUAUGAUGUCUCUUACCGAUCUACCACUAUCAUUUUGGGGUUAUGCAUUAGAGACAGCUGCAUUCACAUUAAAAGGGCACCAUCUAAAUCUGUUGAGACGACACCGUAUGAACUGUGGUUUGGCAAGAAACCAAAGUUGUCGUUUCUUAAAGUUUGGGGUUGCAAUGCUUAUGUGAAAAAGUUUCAUCCUGAUAAGCUCAAACCAAAUCGGAAAAGUGUGUCUUCAUAGGAUACCCAAAAAGUUACUGUUGGGUACACCUUCUAUCACAGAUCCAAAGGCAAGACAUUCGUUGCUAAGAAUGGAUCAUUUUUAGAGAAGGAGGUUCUCUCGAAAGAAGUGAGUGGGAGGAAAGUAGAACUUGAUAAGGUAAUUGUACCUUCUCCCUUAUUGGAAAGUAGUUCAUCAUAGAAAUCUGUUCCUGUGACUAUUACACCAAUUAGUGAGGAAGCUAAUGAUGAUGAUCAUGUAACUUCAGAUCAAGUUACUACCGAAUCUCGUAGGUAAACCAGAGUAAGAACCGCACCAGAAUGGUACGGUAAUCCUGUUCUGGAGGUCAUGCUACUUGACCAUGACGAACCUACGAACUAUGAAGAAGCGAUGGUGAGCCCAAAUUCCGCAAAAUGGCUUGAGGCCAUGAAAUCUGAGAUGGGAUCCAUGUAUGAGAACAAAGUAUGGACUUUGGUUGACUUGCCUGAUGAUCGGCAAGCCAUUGAUAAUAAAUGGAUCUUCAAGAGGAAGACGGACACUGAUAGUAGUGUUACUAUCUACAAAGCUAGAAUUGUCGCAAAAGUUUUCGACAAGUUCAAGGUGUUGACUACGAUGAGAGUUUCUCACUCGUAUCUAUGCUUAAGUCUGUCCGAAUCAUGUUAGCAAUUGCCGCAUUUUUAUGAAAUCUGGCAAAUGGAUAAACAAAACUACAUUCCUUAAUGGAUUUAAAGAACAGUUGUAUAUGAUGCAACCAGAAGGUUUUGUCAAUCCUAAAGGUGCUAACAAAAUAUGCAAGCUCCAGCGAUCCAUCUAUGGACUGGUGCAAGCAUCUCGGAGUUGGAAUAUACGCUUUGAUAAGUUGAUCAAAGCAUAUAGUUUUAUACAGACUUGCGGUGAAGCCUGUAUUUACAAGAAAGUGAGUGGGAGCACUACAACAUUUCUGAUAAGUAUAUGUGUAUGACAUAUUGUUAAUCGGAAAUAAUGUAGAAUUAUUCUGCAAAGCAUGAAGGAGUGUUUGAAAGGAAUUUUCCAAAGAAAGACCUCGGCGAAGUUGCUUACAUAUUGAGCAUCAAGAUCUAUAGAGAUAGAUCAAGACGCUUGAUAAGGUUUUUCAAUAAAUACAUACCUUGACAAGAUUUUGAAGUAGUUCAAAAUGGAACAGUCAAAGAAAGAGUUUCUUGCCUAUGUUACAAGGUGUGAAAUUGAGUAAGACUCAAAGCCCGACCACGGCAGAAGAUAGAAAGAGAAUGAAUGUCAUUCCCUAUGCCUUGGUCAUAGGUUCUAUAAAGUAUGCCAUGCUGUGUACCAGAUCUAUUGUAUACCCUAACACUGAGUUUGGCAAGGGAGUACAAUAGUGAUCUAGGAGUAGAUCACUGGACAACGGUCAAAAUUAUCCUUAGUGGAAUAAGGAUAUGUUUCUCGAUUAUGGAAGUGAAAAAAGGUUCGUCGUAAAGGGUUACACCGAUGCAAGUUUUGACACUAAUCUAGAUGAAUCUAAGUCUCAAUCUAGAUACAUAUUGAAAGUGGGAGCAAUUAGCUAGAGUAGCUCCGUGCAGAGCAUUGUUGACAUAAAUAUUUGCAAAAUACUUACGGAUCUGAAUAUAACAGACCCGGUGACUAAAAUUAUCUCACAAGCAAAACAUGAUCACACCUUAGUACUCUUUGGGUGUUAAUCACAUAGCGAUGUGAACUAGAUUACUGACUCUAGUAAACCCUUUGGGUGUUGGUCACAUAUCGAUGUGGAUUAUGGGUGUUAAUCACAUGGUGAUGUGAACUAUUGCUAUUAAAUCACAUGGUGAUGUGAACUAGAUUAUUGACUCUAGUGCAAGUGGGAGAUUGAAGGAAAUAUGCCCUAGAGGCAAUAAUAAAAGUUAUUAUUUCCUUAUAUCAUGAUAAAUGUUUAUUAUUCAUGCUAGAAUUGUAUUAACCGGAAACAUAAUACAUGUGUGAAUACAUAGACAAACAGAGUGUCACUAGUAUGCCUCUACUUGACUAGCUCGUUAAUCAAAGAUGGUUAUGUUUCCUAACCAUGGACAAAGAGUUGUCAUUUGAUUAACGGGAUCACAUCAUUAGUUGAACGAUCUGAUUGACAUGACCCAUUCCAUUAGCUUAACACCCGAUCGUUUAGUAUGUUGCUAUUGCUUUCUUCAUGACUUAUACAUGUUCCUAUGACUAUGAGAUUAUGCAACUCCCGUUUGCCGGAGGAACACUUUGUGUACUACCAAACGUCACAACAUAACUGGGUGAUUAUAAAGGAGCUCUACAGGUGUCUCCAAAGGUACAUGUUGGUUUGGUUUAUUUCGAGAUUAGGAUUUUUCACUCCAAUUGUCGGAGAGGUAUCUUUGGGCCCUCUCGGUAAUGCACAUCACCGAAGCCUUGCAAGCAUUGCAACUAAUGAGUUAGUUGCGAGAUGAUGUAUUACAGAACGAGUAAAGAGACUUGCCGGUAACGAGAUUGAACUAGGUGUGGGAUAUCGACGAUCGAAUCUGGGGCAAGUAACAUACCGAUGACAAAGGGAACAACGUAUGUUGUUAUGCGGUCUGACCGAUAAAAGAUCUUCGUAGAAUAUGUAGGAGCCAAUAUGAGCAUACAGGUUCCGCUAUUGGUUAUUGACCGGAGACGUGUCUCGGUCAUGUCUACAUUGUUCUCGAACCCGUAGGGUCCGCACGCUUAAGGUGACGAUGACAGUUAUAUUAUGAGUUUAUGCAUUUUGAUGUACCGAAGGUUGUUCGGAGUCCCGGAUGUGAUCACGGACAUGACGAGGAGUCUCGAAAUGGUCGAGACAUAAAGAUUGAUAUAUUGGAAGCCUAUGUUUGGAUAUCGGAAGUGUUCCGGGUGAAAUCAGGAUUUUACCGGAGUACCGGGAGGUUACCGAAACCCCCCGGGAGGUAUAUGGGCCUUAGUGGGCCUUAGUGGAAGAAGAGAAGAGGCAGCCAGGGCUGGGCCGCGGGCCCCUCCCCCCCUUGGUCCGAAUUGGACAAGGAGAGGGGGUCGGCCCCCCUUCCUCCUCUCUCUCCUCUUUCCCCCCCUCCACGAAUCCUAUUCCAACUAGGAAAGGGGGGGAGUCCUACUCCUAGAAGGAGUAGGACUCCUCCUGGCGCGCCUCUCCUGGCCGGCCGGCCCCCCUCCCUUGAACCUUUAUAUACGGAGGUAGGGGCACCCCCUAGAGACACAAGUUGAUCCACGUGAUCAUAUUCUUAGCCGUGUGCGGUGCCCCCUUCCACCAUAGUCCUCAAUAAUAUUGUAGCGGUGCUUAGGCGAAGCCCUGCGACAGUAGUACAUCAAGAUCGUCACCACGCCGUCACGCUGACGGAACUCUUCCCCGACACUUUGCUGGAUCGGAGUCCGGGGAUCGUCAUCGAGCUGAACGUGUGCUAGAACUCGGAGGUGCCGUAGUUUCGGUGCUUGACCGGUCGGGCCGUGGAGACGUACGACUACAUCAACCAAACGCUUCCAUUUCGAUCUACAAGGGUACGUAGAUCACACUCUCCCCCUCUCGUUGCUAUGCAUCACCAUGAUCUUGCGUGUGCGUAGGAAAUUUUUUGAAAUUACUACGAAACCCAACAAUAUCCAUUGAUACACUCAAAAAGAAAGAUGUCAAACUCCCAAAAGAGAGAAUGGUUCCAAACAAACCAAGCCCUCUACAAAGUUUCAUGAUGGCACAAAGCACCAAAAAGAAACGGCUUGCCUUCCACAAACACACACUUGAUAAGGAUCACAAGAUGAGUGUUUUAUAGAGAAUACGAUAGCUCCCCCAAGACUAGUGCAUUAUAGAGAAUUUGCAUUUGAAUACAAAAUGCACGAGGUGGGAUCACCGCUUUCACUAUAUCUAGAAAACACUAGACAAGGUCAAGAAAUACACAAGAUCCACAGGUGGUAUGGAAGACAAAGGGAGUUGAUACAAACCUUGGCAAGAGAAAGGGCAAAUAAAAAGAAAAAGCCAAUGUAAAGAUGAUCAAUAGAUUCUACCACAAAAGUGAGUACCAAUUGUCAAAAGACAAGAAGUAAACGGAAAAAAUUCCCGGUGGUAGAUAACAAGGAUAUCCGACAUUAUCUUCACACCAAACAAAAAGCAAAAUGCAACUUGUAGAGCUAACAUGCCACCUAGGAACAAGAUAAUUUACAAUAUCAACUCUAGGUGACAAUAUCUCAAAUGUACACAUUUUCUAGGCUAGUAAUAUACACAUAGCAUAUUACUCCCCCAUAAUGUGAUACCAAUUAAGGAAGAACAAGAGGCAAAUAAAAGGAUCCAACAAGAGAUAAUUAAUGGACUAUUUAGAAUUUGAAUUUCUCAUGAGAAGACAUACCACAUAGCGACUAGAUAAUCUUGUAAUAUCAAUACUAGAUGGUAUUCCUCAUGUACACACAUUUAUAGGAUUGUGAGGUGCACAAAGCACAUCACUCCCCCACAAUGGGAUAUUCCAUUAAUCUCUCACAAGAGCCAACUAAGAUAUGACCAAGAUGCACAAAGGCUCAACUAACGACACACAUGUACAUGAUGUGCAAACCAACACACACAUACUUGAUUGCUCAAGAUAAUCAAGUUGGAAGCACAACAUAUACAAACACAUGCAAGGAACAAAGCCAAACAUGCAAAGGGGCAAGUAAUUUUCAAUGUAAACAAUUUAAGCACGAGUUACCACAAGGAGGAAAAUUGGAUAUAAGAUAGAAACUUGAUAAUCCAAAUGACUUGGCUUGAGACAAUAAGAAUGAUGAAGUCCCCUUAAUUCUUCAUAAUGUAGCCAAGUCUCCAAUGACCUCCAACAUCACCUAUUGAUCAAGUUUGAGCUUGUUGGUCCCCAACCAAGUUGGGUCCUAAGAGGUUAGUCACAAUGGGCUUGGCUACCCAAAUGGUUCUUUGCUUCAAACCACUUUGAGUACCAACAAACUUGGCAACCACAUUGCCAACAUUAUCCUUCCCAAGAGAAUAGACAUCAUCAAUAAUAAUUGGGUUGGAUAAGUUACCACUAGUGCAUGAAGAGGCGAGGUGACCUUUCUCGCGACAUAGGUAGCAACGUCUACUCUUCACUUUCUUCUCACUUGAUUUCUCAACUUGAGAAGCAUAAGCUUGAGUCUUCUUGGGAAGAGGCUUUUCUUCAACUUGAGGUUGAGAAUGAGAGUGAACUUGUGGCCGCUUCCCUUGUUGCUUGUCACUAAUGGGCUUCUUCUUCAAUUGGCAAGAUCUAACAUGAUGCCCUUCUACUUUGCACUUGAAGCAAACAAUCUUGGCCGAAUUCUUGACUUGUUUUUGGCCCUUCUUUUUGUUCACCUUGGACUUCUUCUUCUUGUUGGAGUUGAAUCCAAGUCCAACUUUGUCAUUGGUUUUUUUUUGCACACUCAAGAUAUUGUUGAGUGUGAAUUUCCCUUCAUGACUCUUUUCCAAGUCUUUCUUCAAAGAAGUGACUUGGGCCUUGAGCUCUUUGAUUUCCUCUACAUGGUUAGUCUCAACACAAGUACUAGAGGAAGUAUAAGCUUCAACAUUAGAGCAACAAGGCAAGGAAAGCAAUUCAUCACAAGAUGUACCAAUGUUAUGCAUGGAUGAAUUGCGAGGACCAGCACAAGGCAAUAUAGCAUUUUGACCAAAAGUAGUGCUAGUAUCCACAUGAGGCUCACUAGAUGUUACCUUAGCAAGCAUGGCCUCUUGAGCUAUCUUUAGCACAUUAUGGGAUACUAGAAGAUCAUCAUGAGAGCUUGUGAGCUUUACAUGAUUUUCUUCCAACAUCCCAUAGUUGCUAGAUAGCAACUCAAGUUGAGCCCUUAGCUCAACAUUCUCCAUUAAUAUGGAUGCUUCACAAGAGAUAGAGUUAGUAGCACAAGCAUCAUCAUUAGCAACAAGAGGAGAAGACAACUUGGCAAGCUCUUCUGAAUAUGAAGCUUUAAGUUGAGCAUGAGACUCGGUGAGUUUGAUGAGCUCACUCUUAAUGACCCUUGAGCCAUUUUCGAGGUGCUCAAAGUCCUCAAGGAGUUUAGCAUGCGCAACUUCAAGCUCCUCAUUUUUAGUUUCAAAAUCAUUGGCCACCUCAAGAGCUCUAUCACGAGAUUCCCUCACUCUAGAUAAUUCUAGAGCAAAAGUCUCCUUAAGAGAUUCCUUGGUGGUUUGUUCAAGUUCAAGAGCUUGAGAGAGGUCUGCAAUCUCAUUUGCGUAAUCACGCUCAUGAGCUUCCAUUUUAUCAAUGGUGACCUCAUGCUCCUCUAGAUGAGAUUCCAACUCCUCAAUGUAUUUCUUGCCUUCAAUGGCAAUAGACAUGAUUUCCAUGAAGUUGGAACAAGCAAGUUUAUUUUUGUGAAGAGCUUUAAAAAUCAUUUCCCCCUUAGUUUUUAAGGAGGCAACAUUAUCAUUCUCUUCAUCAUAAUCAACAUCAUCAUCACUCUUGCCAUCAUCAUAAGAUAUAUUGGGAUUCAAAGUGGGAGAUACCUUUGAAGCCUUGGCCAUAAGGCAAAAUGCAAUAGAUGAUGAUGUAGGAUCCGUUGAAGCACCAUUCAAGACCACAUCUUGUUCCAUGGGGUGUUGGGUUUCCUCUACAUUGUUAGCACAACAAUUCGAGGACAUAUAUGCAUUUUUAUCAUGGCAACAAGACAUAGUAAACAUAUCAUCAUGAGAUUUAGUCAAGAAAUUUCUACAUGAUAUGCAAGGACUAUCAACACAAGCAUGUGAAACAUUUGGAGUGCUCGAAGUGUUAAGGCCCAAAGAAGGAGCAUUGCAAUAAGAUAGUGAUGAAGGAUCAUCCACAAUAAACAUACUAUCAUCAUUGCAAUGACCAACACUACUCACCAUAUCAUUACCUUGGGGCAAACCACAUGUAGGUGAAGUAGAAGAAGUUGAGAAGACUAUACGACCAGAGGUGGAGAGAGAACAAUCAUCCCCACAAAUCUUGGACACUCCAUAUUUAUCUUGAAGCUUCGUCCACAACUCAUGAGCAUCCCGGAACGACAUGAGUUGAAAUAUAACUACAUUGCUCAAAGCAUUGAAAAGCACAUUAGAAGCUUGAGCAUUGAGAUAAGAGUUUUUCUCAUCCUCUAAAGAUAAUCUUUGGGGAUCCUUUGGAGGAGAAAAACCCAUAUCUACAAUUCGCUCUAAAUUUGGGUCCAUGACCCUAAAGAGAUUAAGCAUGCGAAUUACCCAAACAUCAAAAUUUGUGCCAUCGAAACUAAGAGUGUCAGAGAAUCCUAAUCCCCUAGUCGACAUCUUUACUCUCUAGGCGGUUAAGCCUAACAAAGAGAGACGAGGCUCUGAUAACAAUUGAAAGAUCAUGGAUGUCGCCUAGAGGGGGGGGGGUGAAUAGGCGUUUUAAAAUAAUUACGGUUUAGGCUUGAACAAAUGCGGAAUAAACCUAGCGGUUAAUUUGCCAAGCACAAAACCUAAAACAACUAGGCUCACCUAUGUGCACCAACAACUUAUGCUAAGCAAGAUAAGCAACUAUGUGAUAGCAAGAUAUAUGACAAGAAACAAUAUGGCUAUCACAAAGUAAAGUGCAUAAGUAAAGGGGCUCGGGUAAGAGAUAACCGAGGCACGCGGAGACGACGAUGUAUCCCGAAGUUCACACCCUUGCGGAUGCUAAUCUCCGUUUGGAGCAGUGUGGAGGCACAAUGCUCCCCAAGAAGCCACUAGAGCCACCGUAAUCUCCUCACGCUCUCGCACAAUGCAAGAUGCCGUGAUUCCACUAAGGGACCCUUGAGGGCGGUCACCGAACCCGUACAAAUGGCAACCCUUGGGGGCGGUCACCGAACCCGUACACUUUGGCAACCCUUGGGGGCGGUCACCGGAACCCGUCAAAUUGCUCGGGGCAAUCUCCACAACCUAAUUGGAGACCCUGACGCUUUCCCGGAGCUUUAGACCACAAUGAUUGAGCUCUGAACACCACCAACCAUCUAGGGCACCCAAGCACCCAAGAGGAACAAGCUCAAGGGUACCAAGCACCCAAGAGUAAUAAGCUUCUCAACUUGUAACUUCCACGUAUCACCAUGGAGAACUCAAACCAAUGCACCAAAUGCAAUGGCAAGGGCACACAGAGUGCCCAAGUCCUUCUCUCUCAAAUCCCAUCGAAGCAACUAAUGCUAGUGAGGAAAAUGAGAGGAAGAACAAGAAAGAGAACACAAAGAACUCCAAGAUCUAGAUCCAAGGGGUUCCCCUCACAUAGAGGAGAAAGUGAUUGGUGGAAAUGUGGAUCUAGAUCUCCUCUCUCUUUUCCCUCAAAAACUAGCAAGAAUCCAUGGAGGGAUUGAGAGUUAGCAAGCUCAAAGAAGGUCAACAAUGGGGGAAGAACACGAGCUCCAAGGAUAAGGUUCAUUGGGGAAGAAGACCCCCUCUAUAGGAGGGGGAAAAUCCAACCGUUAUGUGCUCAGCCCGCACACGAGCGGUACUACCACUUAGGUGGAAGAAACAGGGAAAAGGAGCAACAAAACAUGAACCUUAGGGCGGUAGUACCGCAGGAGACAGCGGUACUACCGCUGGGUUAAGCGGUACUACCGCUCCCUUCGGCGGUACUGCCGCGCAGAACGAAGGGUAAAGGGAAAGAGGGAACCGGGCGGUACUACCGCGGAGGAAGGGCGGUACUGCCGCUAAGGAGCGGUACUGCCGCACUACUGCCGCAGCGAGGUACCGCACAAUCCAACACAGAAAAAGACCCCUCGAAACGACGCGGUAGGGACCUGGUAAGCCAACGGUAGUACUGCUGCGGAGUCACCGCCGGUACUAUCGCUUCGGAGCGGUACUGCCGCUUGUGACCCCUUAGCGGUACUACCGCUGGAUACCACGGUACUACCGCUGGGACCCUGACAAAACCACACUCAAGAAAAGAAGAACUGCCAUAACUUCUGCAUAUGAGCUCCGAAUUGAGCAAACUCAAGCUUGUUGGAAACAAGACGACGAGUAGCAUCAAAACAGCGGCUGGUUAUAGUAAGAAGAGGCAGGGGAGGUAUGCAUAACAAAAAGAGGAGUGAAACCUCCAACCGAGAAGAAUCGGCAAAACCUCCAACAUCGAAAACAUCAUAGAAGAGGCAUGCGAACUCCGUUUUCGAUGAACUCAAGCUUGUCAUCAAGAUGACCAUAAGCUCUAAGAUUCACAAAGAGAACCAAACAAGAACCAAGAAAUAUGAUGCAAGGAUGCAAUGGUUUGAGCUCUCUACGAACGAUACGAUCAAGCUACUCAUCGAGAGCCCCCCUUGAUAGUACGACAAUCGAUCCUAUAACCCGGUCUCCCAACUACCAUCAUGAGACCGGUAAAAUAGAAAACCUACCAAGGGCAAACCUUUGCCUUGAACAUGGUCCAUUUGAGCUAGAUGAUGACGAUCUUGACUCCCUCAAGUUGGACCACCUUUCUUGAUUGGGUUGACUCGAUGAAGACUAGUUGAUUGCUCCCCCAUACUCCACUAUGGGUGAGCCACUCUUCCGCACAUCUUCACAAGUCCAUUGUCACCACAAAGGAUGGCAAGCUUCAAGCAUUUGAUCUCUUCGUGAUGCUCCACUUGAACUUGCACACCGCAACCUUUCUUGAUUGUGUUGACUCAAUGAAGACUAGUUGAUUGCUCCCCCAUACUCCAGUAUGGGUGAGCCACUCUUCCGCACAUCUUCACAAGUCCAUUGUCACCACAAAGGAUGGCAAGCUUCAAGCAUUUGAUCUCUUCGUGAUGCUUCACUUGAACUUGCACACCGCAACCUAACCCCACAAAGAACCCUCACGAAGACCAUGGGUCAGUACACAAAGCGUAAUUGGCAAUGCUUACCAUACCAUGGGAUCACUUGAUCCCUCUCAAUACAUCUUCUACGCUUUGUGGGUUGAUCAGCUUGAUUCACUCUUUGACUUAGUCUUGAUCAACCUCUCACAAGACCAAUCUUUAGGUAAUUCCUUGAAUAGCACCUUGGUCGACACAAACUCUCCUUGAACCCAACACAUGUACUCCAAGAAAAGUCUAUGGACAAAACCUUCAAAUAUAACUCAAGGCAACCAUUAGUCCAUAGAGAUUGUCAUCAAUUACCAAAACCAAACACGGGGGCACCGCAUGUUCUUUCACCGCUGAGGCGCCUCUGGAGGUCGUGGAAGACUGCCGAACGCGCCUUCAGCCACCUCCUCCUGAAGCAGUGCAAGCGCGCAGGCGGUAUCCAGGUCCGGUGGCCUCUGAACGAGCACCACUGCCUGAAUAUCCUUCCUCAGCCCCUCGACAAAACAAGUCAAGAAGUAGAAAGGAUGAAUCGUGUCAGAAUAUGAUGAUAAAUGGUUUAUGAUCAAUUCGAAUUGCUCUAUGUAAUGUGCUACAGAAGAAGUUUGGCGGACAAUAUAGAACUGCCUGAUCAGCGUCUGAUGCCGAUCGCGACCAAACCGGGUAUAGAGUAAGGCAGUAAAAGCAUCCAAUCAAAAUCUGCAAGUCUUUUUUGUAUGGAUUGAAGCCAGAUGGCGGCCGACCCCGAGAAAUUCAGGGCCGCCAUGGGUACCCAAGGUAAGAUGCCAAACAUUUGGAAGUACUACUCGCACAUAGUUUUCCACAAAUUCGGGUUGUCGCCCGAGAACUGCGGAAAUGCAAUGGAUGGGUGGGAUUGACCCAGUCCAGACAGGAGUUGACUAGCAUGAGCAAACGGCGAGAGCGCGGGCGGAGACGCUGAUAGAGAGGAGGACGGACCUGUUGCCGGGGGUGGCGGCGGUGUCUGUAAGAACACCGCGGCGUUCCCCCGUGGCAAAUUGAAGACGCCGUGGCCACUGGGCCCUGGGAUGUCGCUGCCCGCGCCGCCACCAGCCCCCGUGAGGACGCUGGUCGUCGCAGAAGGGCCUGACUUCGGAAGCGUCGCGUGAGGGUCCUCGUCCCUCGUAGAGGACGGCAGUUGCGCCAUCUAGAGCGCCGCCACCGCAUCGCCGAGAUCAGCGACCCGCUUCUCCAGAUCCGGACGCCAAUUGACCAAGUCAUCGAUCUUGGCCGUGGAAGCCUGGAUCUCCGCGAUUGCCUUGUUCUGGGCCUUGAGGGUGUUGUCGAGCCGCUCGAGGAAGGCCUCGAUUGCAGGAUCCAUGGCGACAAGGUGUGUGCGAGCUUGGCGUAGACCUCUAGUCUCGAUGAGCUGCACCAGGAUGCAGCGGAGGGGAAUUACUGGUCUCUGAUACCAGAUGUUAAGGUACUGGUAGAUACUCUCUCGAUUACUAGUAGCAAUCACUUGCGGAUACAAGUUUGGUGGCGAUUACAGGAACGAUACAAGAAUUUCCUUGCUAGGGUUCGACGCGAGACAGGAAGAGGAAAGGGGAAAAGAGCCGAGCCGCCGUUGCCGUGAUCCUUUGGAUAACCCUAGGACGCUGCCGCUCCUCUCCUCAAGUAGCUUCCAGGACGGACUUCAGUUAACCCACGCUGGGCCGGAGACGCGUGGGUUGGGCUUCCUGGGCCGGGCCACACGUGGAGCCGUGGAGACCAGAUCGUUGGUGUUGCCUUGUGGGCCGGCCCUGUCAGGGACGCUGACAAGUUGUGAGGAUGGUCGACAAGCCGUCGGUUCGGUGGUCUCAUUCCACCCGGUACAUCCGACCAUACUAGGUGGUGUACUGUCGACAUUGUGGGAGCCAUAGAACACAUGGCAGCAGGCCAGUACUAGCUCCAUGUCGGUACAUCCCAGUUUGCAGCCGUUUUCUUCUUCCAUCCGAGAAAUAGUUUUGCGGUUGGUUCUUUUCGUCCCUUCAAUCAUCCGGGUGCCGAACAGAGACGCGCCAAUCCGACGGGAACGGGCUGUGGAUUCUGGAGCGCGGGGCACACAGGGUUUUGGAAUUACAGCGGGCGGUGCCCGUGACGUACGUGCAUGUGAGGUGGUGUGGCGCCCUCCUUUCCUGUCUCCUUGCGGCUCAUGCGGGGGUGGCUGGGAAACGCGCACCCAGAUGCUUGUGACUUCGGCUGGAGUGCCCGCCGCCACUGAUGCUUCUGAUUUUUUUUGAAUCUUGAGAGCCCCGAGCAAUUGAUGGAUCCAAGUUGGCUCUAGUCAACCGAUGUAGCAACUAGCAAGAUCCGAUUAUGUAGGCGAUAAGGCGAAAUACUAGUGGAUGGAAUUAUAAGAUUAAGAUGUGAGUAUUUCCAGAAGAUGGUCAAAGGAUCUCUUUAGACUGGUCACAGGGAGGAGUAACUUAAACUAGUGUCAUGCAUAUAUAUUAUGACAGUAGUCUAAGUUACUAUCUUCAUAGUGCAAAAUAACAUAGUAGCAGUGUCAUAGAUGACUUCAUUUAUUAGCUUAUAGAUUCAUCUUGUCUUGGGAAACGUUAUGUUACAGUAAGGCUGCUGCCAAUGCAUGGAUGCUUAUAUGAGGUGCUAAGCACAUUAAAUAACUUAGAGCAUCUUCAGCCGUUGGCCUCCCAGGGGGCGCCUAAAAUCGCCGCCUGGGGUGAGCCGGCGCAAAAAAUCGGCCUGGGGACGAGUUGGUCCCCAGCCGCCCGCCCCAGGCGCGUUCAAAAAAGGCAAAAAUAUAGCAAAGUUCGGCAAAGUUCGGUGAAGUUCGACAUAUAUUACAUAAUAGUCGCGGAUUUUUAUUACAUAAUAUGUCUAAAUUAAAAAACUGGCUGAACGCGGAGUAGUCGCUGUUGUCGCCGCCAUCAUCGCCGCCGGGCUUCUCCUUCUUGACGCGGUCAUCCCUGGUGGACCCCUGACCGGCGUCGCCAACUCGGACUGGUGGCGGCGGCGCGUCGUCGUCGUCGUCGCUAUCCUCGAUGACGAUGACGCCUCCUUCGUCGCGGCCCCCGUGGCGCUGCGCGAAUCGCUGCAGGGUGGCGCAUGAAGGAAAUAUGAUCUAGAGGCAAUAAUAAAGUUAUUAUUUAUUUCCUUAUAUCAUGAAAAUGUUUAUUAUUCAUACUAGAAUUGUAUUAACCGGAAACAUAAUACAUGUGUCAAUACAUAGACAAACAGAGUGUCACUAGUAUGCCUCUACUUGACUAGCUCGUUGAUCAAAGAUGGUUAUGUUUCCUAACCAUAGACAUGAGUUGUCAUUUGAUUAACGGGAUCACAUCAUUAGGAGAAUGAUGUGAUUGACUUGACCCAUUUCGUUAGCUUAGCACUUGAUCGUUUAGUUUGUUGCUAUUGCUUUCUUCAUGACUUAUACAUGUUCCUAUGACUAUGAGAUUAUGCAACUCCCGUUUAUCGGAGGAACACUUUGUGUGUCACCAAACGUCACAACAUAACUGGGUGCUUAUAAAGGUGCUCUACAGGUGUCUCCGAAGGUACUUGUUGGGUUGGCGUAUUUCGAGAUUAGGUUUUGUCACUCUGAUUGUCGGAGAGGUAUCUCUGGGCCCACUCGCUAAUGCACAUCACUAUAAGCCUUGCAAGCAUUGCAGCUAAUGAGUUAGUUGCGGGAUGAUGUAUUAUGGAACGAGUAAAGAGACUUGCCGGUAACGAGAUUGAACUAGGUAUUGAGAUACCGACGAUCGAAUCUCGUGCAAGUAACAUACCGAUGACAAAGGGAACAACGUAUGUUGUUAUGCGGUUUGACCGAUAAAGAUCUUCGUAGAAUAUGUAGGAGCCAAUAUGAGCAUACAGGUUCCGCUAUUGGUUAUUGACCGGAGAUGUGUCUCGGUCAUGUCUACAUAGUUCUCGAACCCGUAGGGUCCGCACGCUUAAAGUUCGAUGACGGUUAUAUUAUGAGUUUAUGUGUUUUGAUGUACCAAAGGUAGUUCGGAGUCCCGGAUAAGAUCGGGGACAUGACGAGGAGUCUCGAAAUGGUAGAGACGUAAAGAUCGAUAUGUUGGACGACUAUAUUCGGACACCGGAAAGGUUCCGAGUGAUUCGGGUAUUUAUCGGAGUACCGGGGAGUUACGGGAAUUCACCGGGGAGUGUAUGGGCCUUAUUGGGCUUUAGGGGAAAGAGAGAGAGGCAGGCCGCGCGCCCCCCAAGGCCUAGUCCGAAUUGGACUAGGGGGAAGGGCUGCGCCCCUUUCUUCCUUCUCUUCUCUUUUCCCUUUCCUUCUCUCCUACUCCUACUACUUGGAAGGGCUCCUAGUUCUACUAGGAAAGGAGGAAUCCUACUCCCGGUGGGAGUAGGACUCCUCUAGGGAGCACCAUAGAGAGGGCCGGCCCCACCCCUCCUCCACUCUUUUAUAUACGUGACCAGGGGGCACCCCAUAGAGACAACAAUUGAUCUCUUGAUCUCUUAGCCGUGUGCGGUGCCCCCUUCCACCAUAAUCCACCUCGAUCAUAUCAUAGCGGUGCUUAGGCGAAGCCCUGCGUCGGUAGAACAUCAUCAUCGUCACCACGCCGUCAUGCUGACAAAACUCUCCCUCAACACUUGGCUGGAUUGGAGUUCGAGGAACGUCAUAGAGUUGAACGUGUGCAGAACUCGGAGGUGCCGUGCGUUCGGUACUUGAUCGGUCGGAUCGUGAAGACGUACGACUACAUUAACCGUGUUGUGCUAACGCUUCCGCUUUCGGUCUACGAGGGUACGUGGACACACUCUCCCCUCUCGUUGCUAUGCAUCACCAUGAUCUUGCGUGUGCAUAGAAAUUUCUUGAAAUUACUACGUUCCACAACAGUGGCAUCCGAGCCUGGUUUUAUGCCUUGAUGUAAUAUGCACGAGUAGAACACAAGUGAGUUGUGGGCGAUAUAAGUCAUACUGCUUACCAGCAUGUCACACUUUGGUUCGGCGGUAUUGUUGGAUGAAGCGGCCCAGACCGACAUUACGCUUACGCUUACGCGAGACUGGUUUUACUGCCGUGCUAUGCACACAGGUGACUAGCGGGUGUCAGUUUCUCCAACUUUAGUUGAACCGAGUGUGGCUAUGCCCGGUCCUUGAGAAGGUUAAAACAACACUAACUUGACAAACUAUCAUUGUGGUUUUGAUGCUUAGGUAAGAACGGUUCUUGCUCAGCGCGUAGCAGCCACGUAAAACUUGCAACAACAAAGUAGAGGACGUCUAACUUGUUUUUGCAGGGCAUGUUGUGAUGUGAUAUGGUCAAGACAUGAUGAGAUAUAAAGUUGUUGUAUAAGAUGAUCAUGUUUUGUUGAAGUUAUCGACAACUGGCAGAAGUCUUAUGGUUGUCUCUUUAUUGCAUAAGAUGCAAGCACCAAAUAAUUGUUUUACUUUAUCGCUAUGCGAUAGCAAUAGUUGCAAGAACAAUAGUUGGCGAGACGACCAUGUGACGACACAUUGAUAUAGAUCAAGAUGAUGGAGAUCAUGGUGUCAUGCCGGUGAUGAUGGAAAUCAUGACGAUGCUUUGGAGAUGGAGAUCAAAGGCACAAGAUGAUGAUGGCCAUAUCAUGUCACAUAUUUUGAUUGCAUGUGAUCUUUAUCUUUUAUGCAUCUUAUUUUGCUUAGUUCGACGGUAGCUUUAUAAGAUGAUCUCUCACUAAUUAUCAAGGUACAAGUGUUCUCCCUGAGUAUGGACCGUUGCGAAAGUUCUUCAUGCUGAGACACCACGUGUUGAUCGGGUGUGAUAGGCUCUACGUUCAAAUACAACGGGUGCAAAACAGUUGCACAUGCGGAAUACUCAGGUUAAACUUGACGAGCCUAGCAUAUAACAGAUAUGGUCUCGGAACACUGAGACCGAAAGGUCGAGCGUGAAUCAUAUAGUAGAUAUGAUCAACAUAGUGAUGUUCACCAUUGAAACUACUCCGUCUCACGUGAUGAUCGGACAUGGUUUAGUUGAUAUGGAUCACGUGAUCACUUAGAGGAUUAGAGGGAUGUCUAUCUAAGUGGAAGUUCUUAAGUAAUAUGAUUAAUUGAACUUAAAUUUAUCAUGAACUUAGUCCUGGUAGUAUUAGCAUAUCUAUGUUGUAGAUCAAUAGCUCGCGUUUAGCUCCCCUGUUUUAUUUUUGAUAUGUUCCUAGAGAAAACUAAGUUGAAAGAUGUUAGUAGCAAUGAUGCGGAUUGGAUCCGUGAUCUGAGGUUUAUCCUCAUUGCUGCACAGAAGAAUUAUGUUCUUGAUGCACCGCUAGGUGACAAACCUAUUGUAGGAGCAGAUGCAGAUGUUAUGAACGUUUGGCUAGCUCAAUAUGAUGACUACUUGAUAGUUUAGUGCACCAUACUUAAACGGCUUAGAAUCGGGACUUCAAAGACGUUUUGAACGUCAUGGACCAUAUGAGAUGUUCCAGGAGUUGAAGUUAAUAUUUCAAGCAAAUACCCGAGUUGAGAGAUAUGAAGUCUCCAACAAGCUCUAUAGCUAAAAGAUGGAGGAGAAUAGCUCAAGCAGUGAGCAUGUGCUCAGAUUGUCUGGGUACUACAAUCGCUUGAAUCAAGUGGGAGUUAAUCUUCCAGAUAAAAUAGUGAUUCACAGAAUUCUCUAGUCAGCAUCACCAAGUUAGUAGAACUUUGUGAUGAACUAUAAUAUGUAAGGGAUAACGGAAACGAUUCCCAAGCUCUUCGUGAUGCUGAAAUCGGCGAAGGUAGAAAUCAAGAAAAGCAUCAAGUAUUGAUGGUAAACAAAACCACUAAUUUCAAGUAAAGGGACAAAGGGAAGAAAGGGGAACUUCAAGAAGAACGGCAAGCAACUUGCUGCUCAAGUGAAAAAAACCCAAGUCUGGACUUAGUCUGAAACUGAGUGCUUCUACUGCAAAGGGACUGGUCACUGGAAGCGGAACUACCCCAAGUAAUUGGAGGAUAAGAAGGAUGGAAAAGUGAACAUAGGUAUAUUUGAUAUACAUGUUAUUGAUGUGUACUUUACUAGUGUUUAUAGCAACCCCUCAGUAUUUGAUACUAGUUCAGUUGCUAAGAAUAGUAACUCGAAACAGGAGUUGCAUAAUGAACAGAGACUAGUUAAAGGUGAAGUGACGAUGUGUAUUGGAAAUGGUUCCAAGAUUGAUAUGAUCAUCAUCGCACACUCCCUAUACUUUCGGAAUUAGUGUUAAACCUAAAAUAAAUGUUAUUUAGUGUUUGCGUUGAGCAUGAAUAUGAUUGGAUCAUGUUUAUUGCAAUACGGUUAUUCAUGUAAGUUAGAGAAUAAUUGUUGUUUUGUUUACAUGAAUAAAACCUUCUAUGGUCAUACACCCAAUGAAAAUGGUUUGUUGGAUCUCGAUCGUGUUGAUACACAUUUUCAUAAUAUCGAAACCAAAAGAUGCAAAGUUAAUAAUGAUAGUGCAACUUAUUUGUGGCACUGCCGUUUAGGUUAUAUUGGUGUAAAGCGCAUAAAGAAAAUCCAUGCUAAUGGGCUUUUGGAAUCACUUGAUUAUGAAUCAGUUGAUGCUUGCGAACCAUGCCUCAUGGGCAAGAUGACUAAGACUCCGUUCUCCGGAACAAUGGAGCGAGCAACAGAUUUUUUGGAAAUCAUACAUACUGAUGUAUGUGGUCCGAUGAAUAUUGAGGCUCGCGGCAGGUAUCCUUAUUUUCCGAUCUUCAUAGAUGAUUUGAGCAGAUAUGAGUAUAUCUACUUGAUGAAACACAAGUCUGAAACAUUUGAAAAGUUCAAAGAAUUUCAGAGUGAAGUGGAGAAUCAUCGUAACAAAAAAUAAAAGUUUCUAUGUUAUAAUCGCAGAAGUAAAAUAUUUGAGUUACGAGUUUGGCCUUCAGUUAAAACAAUGUGAAAUAGUUUCACUACUCACGCCACCUGAAACACCACAGUGUAAUGGUGUGUCCGAACGCCGUAACCGUACUUUAUUAGAUAUGGUGCGAUCUAUGAUGUCUCUUACCAAUUUACCACUAUCGUUUUGGGGUUAUGCAUUAGAGACAACUACAUUCAUGUUAAAUAGGGAACCAUCUAAAUACGUUGAGACGACACCAUAUGAACUAUGGUUUGGCAAGAAACCUAAGCUGUCGUUUCUUAAAGUUUGAGGUUGCAAUGCUUAUGUGAAAAAGUUUCAACCUGAUAAGCUCAAACCCAAAUCGGAGAAGUGCGUCUUUAUAGGAUACCCAAAAGAAAAUAUUGGGUACACCUUCUAUCACAGAUCCGAAGGCAAGUUAUUCAUUGCUGAGAAUGGAUCCUUUCUAGAGAAGGAGUUUCUCUCAAAAGAAGUGAAUGGGAGGAAAAUAGAACUUGAUGAGGUAACUAUACCUGCUCCCUUAUUGGAAAGUAGUUCAUCACAGAAAUAUGUUCCUGUGACUACUACACCAAUUAGUGAGGAAGCUAAUGAUGAUGAUCAUGUAACUUCAGAUCAAGUUACUACCGAACCUUGUAGGUAAAUCAGAGUGAGAUCCGCACCAGAGUAGUACGGUAAUCCUGUUCUGGAGGUCAUGUUACUUGACCAUGACAAACCUACGAACUAUGAGGAAGCAAUGAUGAGCCUAGAUUCGGCGAAAUGGCUUGAGGCCAUGAAAUCCGAAAUGAGAUCCAUGUAUAAGAACAAAGUAUGGACUUUGAUUGACUUGUCCAAAGAUCGGCGAGCCAUUGAGAUUAAAUGGAUCUUCAAGAGGAAGACGAACGCUGAUAGUAGUGUUACUAUCUACAAAGCUAUAAUUGUCGCAAAAGGUUUUCGACAAGUUCAAGGUGUUGACUACGAUGAGAGUUUCUCACUCGUAUCUAUGCUUAAGUCUGUCUGAAUCAUGUUAGCAAUUGCCACAUUUUAUGAAAUCUGGCAAAUGGAUAAACAAAACUACAUUCCUUAAUGGAUUUAUUAAAGAAGAGUUGUAUAUGAUGCAACAAGAAAGUUUUGUCAAUCCUAAAGGUGCUAACAAAAUAUGCAAGCUCCAGCGAUCCAUCUAUGGACCGGUGCAAGCAUCUCGGAGUUGGAAUAUACGCUUUGAUAAGUUGAUCAAAGCAUAGAGUUUUAUACAGACUUGCGGUGAAGCCUGUAUUUACAAGAAAAUGAGUGGGAGCACUACAACAUUUCUGGUAAGUAUAUGUGAAUGACAUAUUGUUGAUCGGAGAUAAUGUAGAAUUAUUCUGCAAAGCAUAAAGGAGUGUUUGAAAGGAGUUUUUCAAAGAAAUACCUCGGUGAAGUUGCUUACAUAUUGAGCAUCAAGAUCUAUAGAGAUAGAUCAAGAUGCUUGAUAAGUUUUUUCAAUGAAUACAUACCUUGAUAAGAUUUUGAAGUAGUUCAAAAUGGAACAGUCAAAGAAAGAGUUCUUGCCUGUGUUACAAGGUGUGAAACUGAGUAAGACUCAAAGCCCGACCACGGCAGAUGAUAGAAAGAGAAUUGAAGUCAUUCUCUAUGCCUUGGCCAUAGGUUCUAUAAAAUAUGCCAUGCUAUGUACCAGAUCUAUUGUAUACCCUACACUGUUUUUGGCAAGGGGUACAAUAGUGAUCUAGGAGUAGAUCACUGGACAGCGGUCAAAAUUAUCCUUAGUGGAAUAAGGAUAUGUUUCUCGAUUAUGGAGAUGACAAAAAGGUUCGUCGUAAAGGGUUACGUCGAUGCAAAUUUUGACACUGAUCCAGAUGACUCUAAAUCUCAAUCUGGAUACAUAUUGAAAGUGGGAGCAAUUAGCUAGAGUAGCUCCGUGCAGAGCAUUGUUGACAUAGAAAUUUGCAAAAUACUUACGGAUCUGAAUGUGGCAGACCCGUUGACUAAACUUCUCUCACAAGCAAAACAUGAUCACACCUUAGUACUCUUUGGGUGUUAAUCACAUAGCGAUGUGAACUAGAUUAAUGACUCUAGUAAACCCUUUGGGUGUUGGUCACAUGUCGAUGUGAACUAUGGGUGUUAAUCACAUGGUGAUGUGAACUAUUGGUAUUAAAUCACAUGGCGAUGUGAAUUAGAUUAUUGACUCUAGUGCAAGUGGGAGACUGAAGGAAAUAUGCCCUAGAGGCAAUAAUAAAGUUAUUAUUUAUUUCCUUAUAUCAUGAUAAAUGUUUAUUAUUCAUGCUAGAAUUGUAUUAACCGGAAACAUAAUACAUGUGUCAAUACAUAGACAAACAGAGUGUCACUAGUAUGCCUCUACUUGACUAGCUCGUUGAUCAAAGAUGGUUAUGUUUCCUAACCAUAGACAUGAGUUGUCAUUUGAUUAACAGGAUCACAUCAUUAGGAGAAUGAUGUGAUUGACUUGACCCAUUUCGUUAGCUUAGCACUUGAUCAUUUAGUUUGUUGCUAUUGCUUUCUUCAUGACUUAUACAUGUUUCUAUGACUAUGAGAUUAUGCAACUUCCGUUUACCGGAGGAACACUUUGUGUGCCACCAAACAUCACAACGUAACUGGGUGAUUAUAAAGGUGCUCUACAGGUGUCUCCGAAGGUACUUCUUAGGUUGGGGUAUUUCGAGAUUAGGAUUUGUCACUCCGAUUGUCGGAGAGGUAUCUCUGGGCCCACUCGGUAAUGCACAUCACUAUAAGCCUUGCAAGCAUUGCAACUAAUGAGUUAGUUGCGGGAUGAUGUAUUAUGGAACGAGUAAAGAGACUUGCCAGUAACGAGAUUAAACCAGGUAUUGAGAUACCGACGAUCGAAUCUCGGGCAAGUAACAUACCGAUGACAAAGGGAACAACAUAUGUUGUUAUGCGGUUUGACUGAUAAAGAUCUUCGUACAAUUUGUAGGAGCCAAUAUGAGCAUUCAAGUUCCGCUAUUGGUUAUUGACCGGAGACGUGUCUCGGUUAUGUCUACAUAGUUCUCGAACCCGUAGGGUCCGCACGCUUAAAGUUCAAUGACGGUUAUAUUAUGAGUUUAUGUGUUUUGAUGUACCGAAGGUAGUUUGGUGUCCCGGAUGAGAUCGGGGACAUGACGAGGAGUCUGGAAAUGGUCGAGACAUAAAGAUCGAUAUAUUGGACGACUAUAUUCGGACACCGGAAAGGUUCCGAGUUAUUCGGGUAUUUAUCGGAGUACCGGGGAGUUACGGGAAUUCGCCGGUGAGUGUAUGGGCCUUAUUGGGCUUUAGGGGAAAGAGAGAGAGGCAGGCUGCGCGCCCCCCAAGGCCUAGUCUGAAUUGGACUAGGGGGAGGGUUGCGCCCCCUCCUUCCUUCUCUUAUCUUUUCCCUUUCCUUCUCUCCUACUCCUACUACUUGGAAGGGCUACUAGUUCUACUAGGAAAGGGGGAAUCCUACUCCUGGUGGGAGUAGGACUCCCCUAGGGCGCACCAUAGAAAGGGCCGGCCCCUUCCCUCCUCCACUCCUUUAUAUACGUGACCAGGGGCACCCCAUAGAGACAACAAUUGAUCUCUUGAUCUCUUAGCCGUGUGCGGUGCCCCCCUCCAUCAUAAUCCACCUCAAUCAUAUCGUAGUGGUGCUUAGGCGAAGCCCUGCAUCGGUAGAACAUCAUCAUCGUCACCACGCCGUCGUGCUGACGAAACUCUCCCUCAACACUCGGCUGGAUCGGAGUUCGAGGGAUGUCAUCGAGUUGAACGUGUGCAGAACUCGGAGGUGUCGUGCGUUCGGUACUUGAUCGGUCGGAUCGUGAAGACGUACGACUACAUCAACUGCGUUUUGCUAACGCUUCCGCUUUCAGUCUACGAGGGUACAUGGACACACUCUCCCCUCUCGUUGCUAUGCAUCACCAUGAUCUUGCGUGUGCGUAGGUAAAUUUUGAAAUUACUACGUUCCCUAACAGUGCACUGGCGCUCCCUCGCCAUCUUCAGGGAGUCCGCGCGCGCCCAUUCCAGGGCCGCGUCAUCGUCGAGCUCGACGUCGCCGCCGUGCUCCGUCUUCACCGCGGGGAGGAGGCCCGGCUCCGUCGUCACCGCCGCGAGCCCCGGCUCCAUCUUGGGCUUGACGAAGCGCGGAGGAGGAGCUGAUGAGGAGGCGCGCCAGCCGCCCUCAUUGAUGACGAUGGCGACGCUGCGAGUGCGCCCCCGAGCGGCGUCUCUGUCGCGGGCUCGGCCUUGACGCCGAGCAGCACCAGAGAGCCGGAGGAGUGCGAAGAAGAGUGUGAUGAGGAGGAAGAAGAGGAGGCGUCGAACCUCCUGGGCAACCAUUACCCGUCGCGUCGGCGGUGAGCCGUGGCUGUGGCGGCCGCCCUCGCCGAGGGGUACGCCAACGGCGGGUGGUUGCCACCCUCGAGGUGCGUCAGCACGCCCUCGAGUGUGCGACCGGGGACGCCCCACCAUAGACGGCGCCCCUUGUUGUUCUUCAUGCUGCCGACCACCGGCGCGCCGUUGGUGGACGCCAGCCGCUGCUGCUGACGGCGUUGGAAGUACACCGCCCAAGCCGCGUGGUUGUCGGCGGCGUACUGGGGGAGGGAGAGCUGGGCGUCGGUAAGGGAGGCGCGCACGACCUCGACCUCGUCGGCGAAAUACGAGGGUUUAGCCAUGGCGUCUGGCAACGGGGGAAUGGGCACUCCCCCGUUGCUGAGCUUCCAGCCCGUCGGCCCGGCGCGCAUGUCCGGCGGCGCCGGGAUGUUCGCCUAGAACAAGAGCCAAGACUCUUGUUCGCGGAGCGAGCGGAGGCCGAAGCCGUUGGCCGCCGCCUCAUCUCCGGGGAAACGCUCAGCCAUCGAGAGAGGGAGGGAGAGCGAGGGCUCGACGGCGGCGCUCGGGAGAGGGGGGGCUCGGCAGCGACUCUCGGGAGAGGCAGAGCUCGACGGCUAGGACUAGGGCUGGUGUGGCCAGAGGCGAGGGAGGCCGUCGGCUUUAUAUUGCCGCGCCGCGCCCGUGUGUACGCGUGCGAGGGAGGGGAGGCGUCGGCGCGCCGUCCCGUGACACGCCGCCCGUGAGGAAUCAAUGGUAAGGCUGACCGGCGGCAGCCUUGCCAUUGAUUCCCGCGGGAAACCGAGGCGUGGGGGGAAGACGACGCGCGGUGUCGCUGACGCGGCGGGCUCGCGGCUCUUUCACGCCAAAACCGCUCGCCCCGGCGUCCCCGAGCCCCCCCCCCCAGCGCGCCGGGUUCGGCCUGGGUCCACCGACGCUAAUUUUGGCCCAGGCCGGCGAAAAUCGGGCUCCUGGGGCGCGACUGGGCUGAUUUUUCUGCGCCGACGCGAAAAAAUCGCCUGGGGAGGCCUUUCUGAGGGCGCGACUGGAGAUGCUCUUAGCAACUAUACUCCCCAAUGCAUAGGUGCUUAGCUUAUGGUUGCUAGGCUUACUUCAUUUAAUGAUUUAGCAAUUAAAGCUCUUGAUGUAUUGGUGGGCUUCCUUUCUUUAAAUGUUUUGCUUAGGUUCACGCGCUUAGCAUUGUUUCUUUCUGAGUCACCACACUCAUCUAUCUCCUCUUAAAUAACUUGCCACAUCAGAUUUUUUGCCUACAUGAAAGGCUUAGCACCUGUACAAGGUGGAAUAUUGGGAGGGGCCUAACAUACCAUGUUACCACCUCUCAUUAACUACUUGCCACAUAAGCAAAAUUUUCUUGAAGUACGCUAUGUUAUUAGCUAAGUUACUCCCACUACGACUAGCCUUAGGCCUCAUUCGGUUUGAAGGAUUUUUAUAGGAAAAACAUGGGAACAAGGAUUCCAGAUAAAAAUUUCCUAUAUAUGCAUUCGGUUUAUAGGAAAUGCGUACAUGAAUUUCGUAGGAAUACUAUUCAUUUCCUAUGCUUUUGGAGGAAACUAUACAUCCACUCAAAACUCAUUUUACGCGUAGGAACGAGGCAAGUCAAUUCCUUAAGGUGAUAAGUGACAUCCUAUCAAAUUCAUAUACUGCUCCAAAUUCCUACGUUUAGAUUUUCUCCAAACCGAAUGAGCCCUAUGUAUGUUGUGCUUUGGAAGCAAGAGCAGCUCCAACCGUUUCCUUAAAAAACUUGGUGGUUUUGCCGGAUGACCAUAAUUUAGAGGAAGUUGUCCGAAAGCAGCUUUUGUCAUUUUUUUGGCAAUUUUCUUUCCCUAUUUUGUUCUUUCAUUUUUUUCAUUAAACUUUUGUAGCUAAUGGCCGAGGGCCUGCAAGUCAAUGGUGGAGCGACGACGUGAGGUUAGUGGCCAGGCGGCAACAGCGACACGUGGCUAGCAGCGCGGUCCUAGUUGUGAGGCAGCGUGAGGCUAGUGCAUCGCGAGGUUGGCGAGGUCAUGGGGCAACAACGCGAUAGCUCGGUCCGGCGGGGCGGCGAUGGCUCAUAAAGUUUCAGUUUUCAGGCGGUUUCUAGCCCUCUAGAACUUUAUGGGAAGAUGAUCUUCCUGUAAACCUGAUGGAGCAUUGGUUUACAUGACCCUCUAAAGUUACAGGUUUACGAGAUCUGUUGGAGGGUGUUCUUUCUUCAACUUCCCGUAAAUGCCAAAUUUUUUUACAUACAUGGGAGCUGUUUGAAACGCUCUAAGGUCGAGUGAAUGUGCCCAAUUGUCGGCUCAUUGUACUUCUCAAGGAAAGAGAGCAUCAAAUGUGGCAGCGUCGUCGUUGUAUUUUUCGUUCUUUCUUAUUCUCCGCGGUAAAGGUUCGACAACACCAAGGGCCUCUUUGAUUCGCCUCUUUGAAUCGCGGGAUUCUAAAGCCGCGGGAAUAGAGAAAACAUAAGAUUGGAUUGUGUUGCUCAUCUCAAUCCUACAUAAUUUUGGGUUGUUUGAUUGUACUAGUAAACGUGUACAUGCAACGCACGUAUAACUAUACAAAAAAUUCCUUAUUCAUCUGAGUUAAUUAGCAGCCAAUAAUUUAAUAAUGCACUAAUACUUUGAUGGUAUGUGAUCAGUACUGUUAAACUUGGCCAUACCAUGAAGCUCUUUUUAUAUCUUAUUAUGUCUCAAUCUUCAAUUUUGCAUAGGUACAAGAAAUAAGGAGUUAGACUGUGACAUUAGAACAAUGGUCAGAUAUAUAGCAGCUAAAAAUAUCAGCAUGAAAUGUCAUGCAGCAACCAGCAACAAAUAUAAGUGUGCACGGAAAUGAAACAUUAUCAUUGGAAUGACAAGAUAGAAAUGAAAACAUCAUCAUCACUUGAACUGAAAAAUUAUAAUAAGCAUGACUUUAUUGCAGUAGUAACAUAGAGUAAAGAGAGAACCAAGUUUGCAUUGAAAUGUGAAGCAGCAAGUCACUGAAAAAACAAUGUGAACAAAACAAAGCAGAGAGGAAAGACCUCCGGUCCGGUGGCUGCGUGUCCCCUGGCUGUGCGAGAUGAGGGGGAGGUGUGAACUGGCGUCCCCGACGACGGCAAGGCGGUUUAGGCAGCGUCUCCUCGACGGCCGGCCAGGUGGUGUAGAGGCAGCGUCCCCAACGGCCGUCAAGGUGGCAUCUCCCCGGCGGUCCACCGGGCGGUGUAGGAGGCGGCGUCCCCGGCGGACGGCCUGCCAGGCGGUGUAGGAGGCGGCGUCCCCGGUGGACGGCCGGCCAGGCGGUGUAGGAGACGGCGUCCCUGGCGGACGGCCGGCCAGGUGGUGUAGGAGGCGGCUUCUGGUCGACGGUGUCGCCGACGGCCGAGGCCAGGCGAGGUGAUGGGUGGGCGGCACGGAGAUGUGAGGGUCGACAGAUCGAGGCGAUGGGGGCGGCUUGUGGGGCGGCUCGAUGAAUGGGAUCGGGGUCGUGAACGUACAGCGGUUUCCCCGUUAGUUUCCUUUCGUGCAAUAGGAAGGGGAUCGGGGAAGGGAAAGGAGUGUUUAGCGCUAAACGUGUUUAGUCACUCAUCAUUAGGACAAUGACAACAGUUGGAUUGAUGCGAACGGGUGGCUGAGAUGUGUUGGAUCUGCUUCUCUCGGUCUUUUUAUAUUGAUAUAAAUAUAGAAAGAACAAAUGAUUCCUUUAAAGAAGUUAGACUAGAUGCUAGAAAUCAUGCGCGAAGUAGUAAAAAAAAUCCUUUUUUUGUGAAACUAGAAAAAAAAAA